UUUUUUUUUUUUUAAUAUUAUGGGCAUUAUCAAAACUAUUCACGUGCCCAUAAACACUUAUUAGAAUGACCACCCCAUUUGGGCCCUUAAUAUUAUAUUCAUGACCAAAUUUAUUCGCGAUUCUUCAAGUCUAUUAAUAAAAAUUCAUGAAAAAGUUUAAUUGGAUCCGAAUUCAAAAGGAUUAAAAUAAAGAAGUACAUAUGUAUGUCUAAUCACCGUUUAAAAUAACCAUAACUUUGACUCUAAAAAAUUAAUUUACGACAGUUAAUUCUAAUUAAGAAAUUUUAUUAAUCGAGAGGAAGAUAUUAGGAACUGUCGAUGUAUGCUUUGAAAUAUUGUCAAUGAACUUUCCUAAAAUUCCUAGCCACCCUAAUAGUAUCAUAAAAUCUUAUCCAAUGCCUCUUAAAUAUUAAUGAGGAAAAUAUGAAAAUUAAUAUCUUCAUGCAUUAAGGUUCUUAGCAUUUUGAGUCUAAUCUCCUUUGUUUCAUAAAUAGUAGUAGUAUAAAGAUUAAUCAAAUUUAUUUGCAAUUUUCUUCAAUCUAUCAACUAUUUCAUUAUAACAGAGGGGAUCACAUUCUCUUUAAAUUCUCCUCGGAAAAGGAGAAAAGAAGACUCGUUUCUAUAGCAACCAAAUUUGUACGCGAAUUUUUGAAAAAAAUAUAUUUUAAGUACGACAUUUAUCCAAUUUUUAUUUCCACGUGAAAAGUGAUUAUUUUUCAAUUACAUUUCAAAUAAUGGCUAAACUUUGAAUACUGGUCAAAUGAAUAUAGUAUGAAACCAUUUAAGUUUGAGAACUUAGUCAUAUUUUGCUACCAUGGGCCUCACUCAAUGUUAAAAUUUGUGGAAUUAAUUGUAUGGACUAGCCACUUUCAGGCUUUGCAACGCAAUUUGAGAACUUAGUCAUAUUUUGCUACCAUGGGCCUCACUCAAUGUUAAAAUUUGUGGAAUUAAUAGUAUGGACUAGCCACUUUUCAGCUUUGCAAUGAAAAUAACAUUAAUGAUCAAAAAUAUAUUUAAAUUGUGAUUUUUUUGUAUUAAAACAUGUCUUGAUGUAGAGUUGGCUAAAUAUGUGUUUCCAAUCGAUAAUAGAUGCGUGUAGGCCAACUUAAUAUCGAUGCGUGUUUUAAUACAGAUUGAGUGAUAGUUGAGUGUAUGAAACUCAUGAAAAGAGGAUAGUUUAAGUAGACAAAUAGGACAAUGAAUAGUUGAAAUAUAAAACUAAUGAAAAUGUGAUAAUUGAAAUGUAUUCUUUUUUACCAUUAAGUCUAUUUUUUGUCCAAAACCAUUUUUUUUAUGAAGAAGUGAGCAUAUUAUAAGCGUGGUUGUUGUCGAUUUGUCUAUAGACAAUAAAUCCACGAAGGGGACACUUCCUUUUUUAUUUUUUAUUAAAAUUAAAUAUCAAUAGUUUAUAUUCUCUCCCGUCUCCGUCAUAAUUUUAUCGUCAUUUUAAUUCUUUUUCACGUUCAUUAAGAAAAUAUAAUAUAAGAUAUAAUUUUUGCUGCUAUGAAUGAACGACAUUUCCACUUAUAUUUAAAUUUGCCUUUUGAAUCUGUUUUAAGGGUUGAGAUCGUAAUCAUAAGUCUCGAUCAUUAUAUAGUAUAUGUGUCGCUCAAGAUCAUAGAAAAGAUUCUUUGUAAGCAAAUCAACCUAUCCUCUAUACUAUAUAAGUCAAGGGUUGCCAAUUAUUACCUCUGAAUAUAACCAACAUGAGGGCCCAGAGGCCAAUCUAGAAUUUCAAAAAGACGGGUAAAUCAUUGUCAGGGGCGGCUCUGUCCCUUCAAGAAAAAAGACAACUAAUUUAGGCUUUCAAAUUUGAGGGGCCUUAUUUAUUUUAGCAAUAAUAAAUAUAGGUUUUCCAUAAGAAAAAUAAGAAAAAUAUUAAAUACAUUUGCAAAAAAAAUAAAUUUUAUUAUAAGAAAAAGUCAUUAAAGAAGUUUGCAUCUGGGAAUCGAUCCCUCAACCUCAAGGUGAAAAACUGACACUCAAACCAGUGAACCAUCUAGUUGUUUGUGUUCAGGGGUUCUUUCAGUUGCUAUUUGAUAUAUUUUAAAAAUUAUACAAGUAAUACAUCGAGUUUUGUCGGAUGACCACAGGUUCAGGUGACCCAUUUUUUAAGAUUAAAAUCGCCCCUGUGAGGACCUAUCUCUGAAUGUGUUUCAAGGGUUGCCAAUUAUUAUUAUUGUAUUGCGGACCUACGUUGGGUCAAUAGGAUUCAUAUAAAUCUACUUUGUAAAAAAAUUACGUGGCAUAUAUAAGUAUAUUUGGUUUGUCUUCUAAAGAAUACACGUAUAAAUAAAACUUGUACUCUAUUCAAAAAAUUAUAGCUCUUGAUCUAGUGGUAAAGUAGGUUCAUUUUUGUGGAAGUGCUUGCGUUCGAAACCAGACAACAACACACUAAUUUAUUAGUUUUUUUUGUGAAUUUUCUUCUUUAUAUUUAAAUUUUACAAGAUUCAUAUUAUCCAUAUCUUUAUCUUCAAUGUAUCUUUGAAUCGCUUAAACAAUAAAAACCUGCUACAAAAUAAGUCAUAGACACGCGCUGAUCUGCCCCCUUUCCCAACCACUUUACAUUCUACAUGACAUCUUAAGGUGAUAAUAAUAAUUCGUCAUGAUAAUAUUGAUAAAUUUCAAGCUUAAUUUCAAUGAUUAUUGCAUGUCCAUUUGAAUACUUGUGAAUUGUGAUAACUUCAUGUUGGUUAUAUUCACAAACAUUUUAUCACUUCAAACUUGUCUUCAAUUGGCAACUUUAUGUAUAACUUGUCUUAAAUUUUGCGACUAUUUUGAUAUGAAGUAUAUCAUCAACUCCCUUACACAAUAAAAACCCCUACAAAGUGGGUAAUUAAUAGACACGCGUUUGGGAAUAAAACCUAUAUUGUUAUAUCAAACUCGACCCUCGCUGCUUCCCAAACACAAACUUUGGAAAAAAUGUUUUCACAUGACAUCUCAAUGUAAUAAUAAAUAAUUUGUUUUGAUAAUAUUGAUAAAUUUAUAUAUCAAGCUUAAUUUCAAUGAUUAUUUGAUAUUGAUUUGAAUACAUGUGAGUUUCAUGUAAGCUAUAUUUACAUAUUUUGUCACCUCCAACUUGUCCUUGAUGGUCAAUUAAAGUACGACAUGUCUUUAAAUUUUGCAAGGUUUGUAUUAUCUCUGUCUUCAUCCAAAAUUCAUCCUUGACUCCGUAAACAACAAAAAUUGCUAUAAAGUGGGAGAUAAAUAUGUGCUAGAAAAAAAAGUACAUUGUCAUGGUGGAUCCAAUUCACGCUCCUUCCCUAAACACGUAUUCACAAACAGUAUCUCCACUCAACAUCUCAGGAAUUGAUAAUAUUAAUAAAAUUAUAUUUCAAUGAUUAUUUCAAGUUGUCUUGAAUACUUGUGAACUUCGUGUUAGUUAUAUUCACACAUUUAGCACCUCCAACUUGUCCUUUGAUGGUCAACUUAAAGUGGGACAUAUCUUAAAUUUUGCGAAGGACCUAUUAGCCCCAUCUUUAUCCAAAAUGUAUCCUCGACGUGGGUGAUAAACAUGCUAGCAAGACAAAAAAGUACGUCAAUUACAUUUCAAAUCAUGGCUAAACUUUGAAUAAUGGUCUAAUUGAAUUGAACCAUUUAAGUUUGAAAACUUAGUCAAAUUUUGCUACUAUGGGCCUCACUCAAUGUUAAAAUUUGUAGAAUUAAUAAGGGAAAAUUAUAUAUAAUACCAAACUAUUAAUUCAAAUUAAAUGUUAUAAAUAUACUUUCAUUUAAUUGUACCUUAUAGCAAACUAUUGCUAUUUUAGCCACUUUUCCUGGUGGAAUCUCGCUCGCCACUCUCGUUUGGUGGCAGUCUCGCUCGCCUCUCUCGCUUUUAUACAAACACAAAUGUAUAAAAUGCGUUAGUGUUUGUAUAAAGCGAGAGAAAAUUGUAUAUAUACAUAUAUUUUCGUUCCCCUCUCUCAGAUUCGCUCGCUACUCUCCCAAAUUUCGCUCGCCACCCUCGCCUCUCUUGCUUAUACAAACAUAAACGAAAUGUAUAAAUUGCGCUUCUGUUUGUAUAAAGCAAGAGAAAAUUAUAUAUACACAUGCAAAUACAUAUAUUUUCGUCCUAUACACUUAUAAUUAUACAAUACAAAUAUUUCUCUGCCCAGUUUUCUUUUGCCUUUCUCUCUUUCUCAUUUUAUACAUACACAGAUUAUACAAUUGAUCUUUUGUAUACAACUGCUUUCUUUUGUAUAUGUAUAGCGAAUUAUACAACUACUUUCUUUGUAUAUGUAUAGCGAAUUAUACAACUGUUUUUUUUGUAUAUGUAUAGCGAAUUAUACAUAUAUAUGUUUGCUAUGGAGCGCAAUUAUGCAAACUUUGCUAUAACAUACAAAUAUGAAUUUUGUGUUUGCUAUAUGUGAAAGUUGUUCAAUUAAUAAUGUGGACUAGCCACUUUUCAGCUUCGUAAUGAAAAUAACAUUAAUGAUUAAAAAUAUAUUUAAAUUAUGAUUUUUUUUGUAUUAAAACAUGUCUUGAUGUUGAGUUGGCCAAAUAUAUGUUCCCAAUCGAUAAUAGAUGUGUGUAGGCCAACUCAACAUCGAUGUGAGGCUCCUAUUGCCUCUAUUUCGAUAUGAAGUAUAUCAUUAACUCCCUUACACAAUAAAAACCCCUACAAAGUAGGUGAUAGACACGCGUUUAGAAAGAACCUAUAUUAUUAUAUCAGAUCCGACCUCCGCUCCUUUCCGAACACACAUUUAGGAAAAAAUGUUUUCACAUGACAUCUCGAUGUAAUAAUAAAUAAUUUGUUUUGAUAAUAUUUAAAUUUAUAUAUCAAGUUUAAUUUCAAUUAUUAUUGGAUAUUGAUUUGAAUACAUGUGAGUUUCAUGUAAGCUAUAUUUACACAUGUUGUCACCUCCAACUUGUCCUUGAAUAUGUUCAACUUAAAGUACGUCAUGUCUUUAAAUUUUGCAAAGUUCCUAUUAUCUCUGUCUUUAUCCAAAAUUCAUUCUUGACUCCGUGAACAACGAAAACUGCUAUAAAGUGGGUGAUAAACAUGUGCUAGAAAAAAAAGUACAUUGUCAUGUUGGAUCCAACUCACGCUCCUUCCCUAAACAUGUAUUCACAAACAGUAUCUCGACGUCUCAGGGUGAUAAUAAAUAAUUUAUUUUUAUAAUAUUGAUAAAUUUAUAAAUCAAUCUAUUUCAAUGAUUAUUUCAAGUUGUUUUGAAUACUUGUGAACCUCGUGUUAGUUAUAUUCACACAUUUCGCACCUCCAACUUGUCCUUUGAUGGUCAACUUAAAGUACGUCAAUUACAUUUCAAAUAAUGGCUUAACUUUGAAUAAUGGUCUAGCCCACGCAAUUGAAUUGAACCAUUAAGUUUGAGAACUUAGUCAAAUUUUGCUACUAUGGGCCUCACUCAACGUUAAAAUUUGUGGAAUUAAUAAUGUGGACUAGCCACUUUUCAGCUUCAUAACGAAAAUAACAUUAAUGAUUAAAAAUUUAUUUAAAUUGUGAUUUUUUUUGUAGUAAAACAUGUCUUGAUGUUGAGUUGGUCAAAUAUAUAUUCCCAAUCGAUAAUAGAUGCGUGUAGGCCAACUCAACAUCGAUGUGUGUUUUAAUACAGAUGGAGUGAUAGUUGAGUGUAUGGAACUCACGAAAGAUGGUAGUUUAAGUUGACAAAUAGGACAAUGGAUGGUUGAGAUAUAAAACUAGUAAAAGUGAUAAUUGAAAUGUAUUCUUUUUUUUUUUACCAUUAACUCUAGUUUUUGUCCAAAACCAUUUUUUUGUUUGUUUUUGGAUGAAGAAGUGAGCAUAUUAUAAGCAUGGUUGUUGUCAAUUUGUCUAUAGACAAUAAAUCCUCGAAGGGACAAUUCCUUUUUUAAAAAAAUACAAAUAUCAAUAACUUAUAUUCUCUCUGUUUCAAUUCUAUCGUCAUUUUAAUAUAUCUUUUCACGUUCAUUAAGAAAAUAUGAAUUAUUAAGAUAUAAUUUUUUCUACUAUGAAUGAACGACAUUUUCAUAUAUUUUUAAAUUUGCCUUUUGAAUAUGUUUCAAAGGUUGAAGAUCGUAAGUCUCGAUCAUUAUAUAGUAUGUGUGUCGCUUAAUACAUGAUCAUCGAAAAUAUUCUCUGUAGGCAAAUCCUCUAUAUAGGACUUAGUCAAACAGUAAUUAGAAUAACGAUAAAUUUUAGACACACCUUUCGCCUGAAUGUUGUUACUGAAAAAAAAUAAUCAAUUUCUCGAACUUCAAAAACUCAUCUUCAAAUAAUCAAUCCAAUGACUUCACAUUCUACGUGACAUCUUCGGGUGAUAAUAAUAAUCCGUCUUAAUAAUAUUGAUAAAUUUCAAGCGUAGUUUCGAUGAUUCCAUUUGAAUACUUGUGAUAACUUCAUGUUGCUUAUAUUCAUAAACACCGCUAUAAAGUGGGCGAUAAACACAUGUUGGAAAAAUACAUACAUUGUCGAAUUGGAUCCAACUCACGUUCUUUUCCUAAACACGUAUUCACAAAAAGUAUCUUCACGUGACAUCUCAAGGUGAUAAUAAAUAAUUCGUUUGAUAAUAUUAAUAAAUUUAUAUAUCAAGUUAUUUCAGGUUGAUUUGAAUAUUCACACAUUUUGCAACCUCCAACUUGUCCUUAAUGGGGUCAACUUAAAAUACGACAUGUCUUAAAUUUUGCAAGGUUCAUAUUUCAAUGUCUUUAUCCAAAGUGUACGAUAAAUGCGUGCCGGGAAAAAAAUUGUACAACAUCACAUUAACAAAAAGUGUUCCACGUGACACCUCAAGAUGAUAAUAAAUACAUAAUUCGUUUUAAUAAUAUUGAUAAAUUUAUAUAUCAAGCUUAAUUUCAAUGAUAUAUAAUUGCAGGUCGAUAUGAUCACUUGUGAAUUUCAUGUUGGUUACAGUCACAUUUUAUAAAGUCACGUACACAGCUUUAAUUUUUCGAGGUGUGCCCAAGCGGACUCAAAUACUACGGUUAUUAAAAGGCCAAACAUAUAUACUGCCUAUGGAACAAGGCUAAGAUAAAGUGCCAAAAUGAAAAUUGUGGACAAGUUAGAGGGGUUGUAUAUGUGUUUGGCCAUAUAUAUAAUUUAACUACACAUCAACAAAAGUUUAAUUUAAUAAAUUUAAUUUAUCGAUCAAGUUAAUUUUAUAAAUUUAAAUUAUAUACCUUCUAAUUAUAUAUAUGGCCAAACACAUAUACAACCCUUCUAACUUGUCCACAUUUUUCAUUUUGACACUUUAUCUUAGCCUUGUUCCAUCUUAACCCUUAAACUCCAUUUUUUUAUGUACCAUUUUAACACGAAAUACUAUUUUUAUGAUUUCUUUAUUUUUAUAUAUAUUCUUCAAUUGCAACUUCUUAUUUUAAAUCGACACGUGUCAGUUAAUUUUAAUUAAAAAAUUAAAAAUUAACAAAAAAUAAUUCUUUUUAAAAAAUAAUAAUUUCUUUUUAAGAGUGUUACGUAUUUUUGUGUGAAGAAUAACCUACGAAAUUGUGUUGAUUUUCUUUCUUUAAAAUCACCGACAACCUAACAAAGUCAGUCGAGUUUUAACAUUGUUUAGUAGUGUUAUUAGCAAUGAACAAGAGUCUUUUUUUAGUAGUGUUAUUAACAAAGUCAGUUGAGUCUUUUUGAAGAUGGAUUUUUUUAUUCGUAUUGAUUAUAUUAAAAAUUAAAAGUGAGUAUUUGCGUUAAAUUUAGAUAACUUAGAUGAUAAGAAAAAAUAAAUAAGUAGUGUUAUUUAAUUUUAUUGAAUGUUUAAGAAACAAAAAUCAAAGAACUUUCGUCAAUUUAUUUUCAUGCAAAAAUACAGAGAAAUAUCAAAAAAUAAUAUUAUUGUUUGAAAUUUUUUUAUGUUCGUUCGCAAAUGUUUAAUUUUUUUACAAAAAUUAACAGGCACACGUCUAUUUUUUAAAAAAUAAGAAAUUGCAAUUGAAGAACAUAAAUAAAAAUAAAUCAUAAAAAUUAAUAUAAGUGUUUAAAUGGUACCGAAAAAAUGGAGUAGGGUUAAAAUGGAACAAGGCUAAGUUGGAGUGCCAAAAUGAAAAAUGAGGACAAGUUUGAGGGGUUGUGUAUGUGUUUGGCCUUAUUAAAAAGACAAAAUAAUAAGGCCAAACACAUAUGUAGACCCUUAAACUUGUCCUUAAAUUUCAUUUUGACACUCCAACUCAACCUUAUUCCAUUUUAACCCUUCAACUCCAAUUUUUAUGUUCCAUUUUGGCACUUCUUUCCAAAGAAUCAACAAAGUGGAUGUGUGUACUUCACAUGCCAUGAUAUGGCACAAAAACCAAUUAAAAACACAUACACAACUCCUCUAACUUGCCCCCAUUUUUUAUUUUGUCAUGCUAACUUAGUCUUGUUCUAUUUUAAUCCUUCAACUCUAUUUUAUAUAGUAUCAUUUAAACACAAAAUACUAAAUUUAUGAUUUCUUUAUUUUUAUUUAUGUUCUUCAUUUCCAGUUUUUCAUUUUAAAAAUCAACAUCAUAUUUUUAUUUAUUUUUAAAAUAAUGGAUGAACAUCAUUUUUUGUUUUAAUUUUUUUUUUAGAGUUUCUGUACAUUAUUGUGUGAAAAAAUAAUCGACGAAAGUGUGUUGGUUUUUUUUAAAAAAACAAUUAAUUAAAUUAAAUAACACCACAUAUUUAUUUUUUCAUAUCUAGUCUAUUUGAACUAACUCAAACAGCAGCUUUCUAUUUUUUCAUUCAACUAAAUACGAGUACAAAAAAACUCAUGUUCAUUGCUAAUUAAUAACACUACAAAAAAUGUUGAAACUCGAUAGACUUCGUUGGGUUGUCAUUGAUUUUCUUAAGAUAGAAAAUUGAUGCACUUUCGUCGGUUAUUUUUCACGCAAAAUAUAGGGAAACUUUUGAAAAGAAAUUAUUACUUUUUUUUAUAAAAAAAAAAUCAAUGAUCAUCCGUCAAUUUUAAUUUUUUACAAUAACUAACGGAUGAACACCGAUUUCUAAAAUGCAAAAUUGCAGUUGAAUAACAUACAUAAAAAUAAAGAAAUCAUAAAAUUAGUAUUUUGUGUCAAAUGGUACAUAAAAGAAAUAGAGUUGAAGGAUUAUUAUUUUUUGUCUUUCACUCUCUUAGAGAAAAAGUGUGAUGCACGCUCUGCCACAUCACUUAGAAAUGUCAAAAUGGAACAUAAAAAUUGGAGUUGAAGGGUUAAAAUGGAACAAGAUUGAGUUGGAGUGCCAAAAUGAAAUUUAGGGACAAGUUUAAGAGUCUGCAUAUGUGUUUGGCCAAAUAAUAAUGACACCACAUGGUGUAUGUAUGUAUGUGUAUAUCUCUCUCACUUUGUACAUUCGUAUAGUUGAAGGAACCCACAUUUCACCAACUUUAUUCCUAACUCAUAUUUGUUAGAACAGAAAAGGGUCAAAACUACCCUUAAAUUAUUCGAAAUAGCUUAAAUAUACCCUUAAAUUAUAUUUUGGCUCAAAAAUACUCUUCCCAUCAAACUAUUGGGUCACACCUACCCUUCUAGUUAACGGAAGUAUCCAUGUGUGUGUUAAAUGCCACAUGGACGCUACAUGGAUGCCACAUGUGCACGCCAAACAGACCCCACCUCCACAUAGACGACUACGGAAAAUGGUCAAAACUACCCUUAAACUAUUCAAAAUAGCUUAAAUAUACCCUUAAACUAUAUUUAGGCUCAAAAAUACCCUUCCCGUCUAACUAUUGGACCACACUUGCCCUUCUGUUCAACAAAAAACAUUCAUGUGUGUGCUAAAAUGGCACAUAGACUCCACAUGUGCACGCCAAACACACCCCACCUCCACAUAGACGACUUAAAGCCCUAAUUUCACUAUUUUCCCCCUCAUUUCAUCCUGAAAACUAUACAUUGAACCAAAAAAAGAAAAAAUAUUUGCAGAAACUUGUAUACGUAACCGAAUGAAGUAGAGAAAUUGCAAUUUGAUGACCAUUUCAAAUACAAUAAAAGAAAUGAUCUAAGGUAUAAUAUAAACACGCUCAUUUUAAUUAAUCAAUUAACACUAAUUUAUUAUUUUAAUUUCUCUUAAUAAAUUAAUUUUGUUUAAACAAAUCUUAGCGAAGCUUUCUUGUUGAUUCAACUCACCGCCAUGACGCAAAAUAGCAGUGGCCGUAAGAGACCUAAUAUACUUAUAAUCACUGGAACUCCAGGCACAUGAAGACGACUACGACGGCUUCCCUGGCGGUGGUGACCGAGCUCCGUCACAUCAACGUCGACGAUUUCGCUAAUGAGGAAAACUUGACGAACAGAUAGGAUGAAACCUUCGAUUGCUACUACAUCAACGAAAACCUAGUAAGUUUUUAUAGAUUUCUUAAUUAAAAUUUAUUUUUUUACCAGUUACACAUUUUUGUUCAAGUUUUGAGCUUUUAUGGUCCCUAAUCCAGAAGAUGCUCUAAAUGAUUAUUAAGGAAGUUUUAGAAUUUAUGGAAAGUUAAAGAAACAUUCAAUAUAAUAGAUGAUUUAAGGAUUAGAUAGCAGAAUUAAUUUGAAUUUGUUUAAGUUGUGAUCUUUAAAGUACAACAUAUUAGUAUCAGAAUAAAAUGAAACUGAAUUGAGUCAAUGUAUGUUGUAUAUUCAUAUAGAUAUAGCCAAAUAAGGAAAGGAUGAAAUGAGGGGGGGAAAGAGUGAAAUUAGGGCUUUAAGUUGUCUAUGUGGAGGUGGGGUGUGUUUGUCGUGCACAUGUGGAGUCCAUGUGCCAUUUUAGCACACACAUGGAUGUUUUUAUUAAACAGAAGGGCAAGUGUGGUCCAAUGGUUAGAUUGGAAGGACAUUUUUGGGCCAAAAUAUAGUUUAAGGUUAUAUUUAAGCUAUUUCGAAUAGUUGAAGGGUAGUUUUGACCCUUUUCCGUAGUCGUCUAUGUGGGAUCUGUUUGGCGUGCACAUGUGACAUUUAACACACAUGGAUACUUCAAUUAACAAGAAGGGUAAGUGUGACCCAAUAGUUUGACGGGAAGGAUAUUUUUGAGCUGAAAUAUAAUUUAAGGGGUAUAUUUAAGCUAUUUCGGAUAGUUUAAGGGUAGUUUUGACCCUUUGCCAUUGUAAGAAUUAUGAGAUUGGUACAAUGUUAUCAAAGGUGAAAAAGCAAAAAAACUCUAAGAUUUGUUGGAGCUUUAAGCACAAAUAAAGCGUGAGAUUUAAUAAACAAAGGCGCAAAUGAAGAUGAAAAUGCAACUAUGUAUGUGUAGUCCAAGACUAGCAAAUAUAUAGACUGCAAUAAAAGGGGAAAAAAGCAUAAAGCGAAAUAAUUGUUCAGUUGCUUCUUCAGGAUUACAUUCAUUGGAAAGGAAAAGUAUGUUAUAGAAAAUUGACGAUGACAUUGAAGCAAGCACCCGCUAAGUGAGGCGAUGCGCUAGCGUGCGUUUGACGGCACAGAGUGCCCAUUUAAAGAGAUGACAAGACAUAUUUCACCAACUGUGAGAUUGACAUUAAGCAAAUGUGUACCAUCAAAUGGCAAUCCUGUUGUUCUGCUCAAAAUAAAGUACUUAUUGCAAGUUCUGAGAACUGCUGUUCAACAUUAGAAUAUGAAUAUGCUCAAAGAUCUCAAUCAAUGUCUUCAUUAGGGGGAAAGAGUACAUACACCUUUUACUUCACACGGCGUAAAAACUAUAUUCAGAACAAUGACAAGAAAAUUCGAUAAAAUGAAAAGGUUAUCUAGGGUCACACAAGAAUCAAACUCCACUACAACAAAAAGUCUAUCAUGUUACAUACCUUGGGUACCGCCUUCUAGGUGAGGUGCAUCCACUCAGACAUUCAGCCUGGAAGCUGCAUGUGGAAGAUCGUUUUUACAGUCCACAGCAUCAGUUGUUGUGUCAGCAGUACUUUAAGGUGCCUAUCACAUUUAAUAUAUGAAAACAUAGAUAUCAAGAAACCUUCUCCUUUGGUGACGGAAAUGGUUCCGAUUCAACUGAUGCAGGUGGAUCCAAAUUCAUUUGAUCUGUUGGAGGUGGUACAGAUUUAGCUUCAUCAGCUCCUUCUUGAGCGGAGUCCAUAGGAUCUUUCAAUGGUGUAGAAGGCUCAACAUGAUCAGUUGAUUGUACUGCAGGAGGAGCAGGAUCGUCUCGGUCAUUAACAGUUGUGGAAGGUGUCGGAUCAGUUAUUAGUGUCUUGGGAGCUGUUCUUUGAGUCAUAGGGAGAUCAGUAUCCAUUUUAUCUGUAGUGGUUGCACCAUUGGUCUGUUCAAGAUUCAUUCCAGUUGAUGUGGUGGUUGCGAUGUUGCUCUGUUCAAGAUUUGUGUCAGGUAUCUCAUAUUCUGAUAGGAGAUCCAUGAACUCGUUGAGCAGCCGCUGUACUUUUCUAUUUGAGGCCAUUGCUGGAAGUAUGUCUUCUCUAAGGAGUCUCUGUUUUUUCAUACCCUGAAAUAGUCGGGAUAACAAAAACUUGAUAAGAAAGAUAAUUUUUUUAACUGAGCGUGGAGACUAAUCUCUAAAUACUUGGCUUUCAUUUUGAAUACGGAUAGAUUUAAUUAGAAUCUCACUUUGAGAAAAUGAAAUCCAUCAAGUAUGAGCAAAAACAUGAAUAGAUGAAAGAAUGUGUGCAGCGGAUAAAAACAUCACCAAGGUAUAUUAUAUCAACAAGAUGCUGCAUGAACAUGGCGCCAAGAAAACAAAAUGUCAACUUAAAACAAUAAAAUUGUCGUUGGUCUUUAUGUGACCGACUUCCUACAUUGAGCUGCAAUAAGAUUGACAUAGUUUCAAGGAAGUCUCUCGCUAGUUUAUGCAACCUAUUUUCAAGCUUGAGCGGUUCAAAAAAAUAUUGACAUAGUUCGUCAGAUGUGAAGUUGGACAUUGCAGAAGCAAUAAUAGCGCAUGCACAACUCCAAUGUGAUGUUAUUUUUUCUAAUACAUGGUCCAAAUAUAUUUGAAGAUAUCUCGCUACCCAGUACCUGUGGGCAGGUGGCAAGUACCAGUGGAAUAGUCGAGGUGCGCGCAAUGGCCCAGACACCACCAUCAUAAAACAAAUUUGACUAAAUCUCAUAUUAUUCAAAGAAAACAUGCUAAUAUAAUUAUCACCAUUUUUCUCUCUGUAGUGAUGGACUUAGUGGUCAGAGAGAAUGGAGAAAAAUGAAGGUCAUACUCAUCUACAAAGACAAUAACAGAUAUUUGCAGAUAUUGUUGGAGUUGAGCCACAGUUGGGCUCAUCCCCAAAAGAAAUAUACACUAAAAAAGAAGUGUGAGAAUCCCUUACAAAUACACAAGGGUCCCAAGCAGGUAUAUUUGACGUAGAGGAUGCAGCAUCAGCCAUCCCUGUGGGAGGCCCAAGAAAGUUCUCGCAAACUUCUCUCAAGCGUGAUUCAUCUGCCUCUCUGCAUUUAAAGAGCAAUCAUAUGUUAAAAUACUCAAGAAUUCAAACAAGGUGGAAAUUCAUCUUUGACACGACACUUCAGAAAGAAAAAAAACCAACAGUAAAAUUGAAUUAGACAAAUAAUAAAUGAAUAUAGAUAGGAUUUUAUACAUGUCAUAACAAAGUAAACCCUGAAACUUCAUAAAUACAAACAUAGCACCAUUCACAAUCAAGAAAUUCAGUUCUUAGAACUACUUUUUUUUUUUUAUUAUUAUCACCAUGGUGUCAGGGCAGCUUUCGCAUACCUCGACUAAUUUCACGAAAAACCCGUCACCUCCCACCAGCAACAGAGACCAGGUAACUCUAUCCACCAAGGCUAGGACAGAUGGGAAAACAUCACCUAGUGUUUUUGUCUAUGCUGUAAUUUGAACCCAAGACCUCAUGGUUCUCAACCCACUUCAACUAGAACUAUUGGUUUCUCCAAACCAACCCUUGUCAAAUGUGCAGGCAAAACAAUUUCCACAAACUUAAAGUUUCUUACAUAACCCAAAGGUCCAUCUAGCACUAAAAAUUCAUUUGCAACUCUCAAUUUAAUCAAUCAUUUUACUUUGAAGAUGAAGUUUCCAACAUUAACCAGUGCAUUAAAAUGGAUACUUCCUCUGUUUCUAUUUAUGUGAGAUAGUUUUGACUCGGCGCGAAGUUUUAAGUAAAAAAGAAAAGACUUUUGAAACGUGUGGUCUCAAUCAUUCCAUAACAUUUGUAUGGCUAUAAAAGUUUCUCUUUAAGGAUAUGGGAAGUUAAUAGUUAGAUGUUUCCAAAUAUAGAAAUGUGUCAUUCUUUUUGGAACAGACAAAAGGAAAUAGUGUCACAUAAACUGAAACGAAGGGAGUAUUAAAUGAAGAUUCCAUAUCACCAAAGGACUACAUAACAGACCUUGCUAAAAACCGAACAUAGGAUAAAAGGCAUUGACGAUAUUCACUAGGAGACUUCAAAGCAAGAGCAGACGCCAAUUGAGACUCCAAAUGAGCACGUGUUUGUACCCCAUCAUCAGUGACUCUGCAGAUGCACAAACUUUAGUAAGACCGAUGAGCCACCAAAACAAAAUUAGGCAAGAAAUUUACACACAAAUACCAACUGUACAGUUAUUCAAACAGCAAAAGUCACUCUGUAACUGAUAACAUUUCAAUAUGCUAAUAUAAGAUACAGACUAAACAUGCAACAUCUCUUAGGGAAAUUCUAGCAAGGAAUCUAAGAGGAACUAAUAAGAUAUUAAGAACAAAGAAGUAGAAAAUGGUGGGCUUGUGACCAAAAAAAAAUGCAGCUGAUGCGUUCAGACAAACCAAAAUGAAAGAAAAUGGACAUUGACCUGCUCCAGCCAGGUCUUCUAGCCAGGAACUUCUUAACAUCCACCUGCAGUGCCGCUAGUUCACCACCAUGCAAUGAGCCCGAACUCCAGGAGCUUGAAAAAUUCGAAGCCGGAAAACAAUCAUCUGCAACCCUCAGCCAGCACAUGAGGCUCAUAUCAAAGAGGUAUGCAUGCCGUGUGGCCAGGACAACAAGAGGAAAACCAGAUUUUGAUAAUUUUGCUGUUAUCACUUUGAUUGUGCCUGUUAACAAGUCAAGAAAAAGUUAUAAGAUACGAAAUGCAGCUAAGACAAUGCAAUAUGUUGGUUCAAUUUUGAAUUUAAUGAUCAACAAAGAAUCAACGACUGCAUCUCUUGUGCAGCGAAAUACUAGAAAAUGUUACUUCCAGCAGUACCCUUAAUACUGUCAGCUUGUAAGCAAAGUAAUAUCCCCUUGAGGACAAUGCAUAAAAGAGGAAAAACACAGUUCUCAGUGGCAAUGCUUAAAAAGGAAGAGAACAAUUCUCAGCCAGAAGACACAUGAAUUAAAUCUUGGGACUUUUAUAACUCACCUGCAUUUGCCUUGGGAUCUGAGUUCAUAAGGGACGCCAAUGAGUCUUGAAGGAGACACUUCCGGUUGAAUAGAUCCCAAAGAUGCAAUGACCCUUUCCUUGUGACGAGCAAAAACUUCCAAGAUUCAUCACAAUCAACAAAUACUGCAGCAGAUCCCAUCAUCAUGGUCGGCAUGGCACGUCGUCCACAUUUUGUAUAAAUCUUCUUACAAGCAAAGAUGAGAAUAAGAAUAUAUCGUACAAUUCGAGGAAUAUUUGGAGUAAGCAAGCAAAUAGAAGAAUCUUUAGCACACAAAGAAAUAACUGGGAUCUAUGUUUUAAUGCGACUUCUUUUGUCCUCAAAUCAACCUUGAGCCUUCAAAAGUUAAUGACAAGCUUUGAUAGCUACACAAAUGUUAGGCAUGUUUAAGACCACAAGUUUCAAAAGUCUUCAUUUCUUUCUUAAGACUCUGUGCUUAGUCAAAUGGAGUUGCAUAAAAUGAAAUGAGGCAGUAUAUAUUAGGAAAAACCGAACCUAACUCAUGCAAAAUGUGAUAAUAGAUGUAAAAAGGACAAAGCUCAAAGUGAUGAUUUGCAACAGACAAACAAGAAAGAAGGGAAGACUACAGAAGUAAUAAAUGUUUCACUCUCUUCAAAAGCAGUAAAACUGCAGGUAAAGGGUUUGGAUGACAGCAUUUUAGGUCAAAAAAUGUGAAUCACAGUACUCAGGCAUGUACAGAUCAAUUAACAUGCACAACACCCAGGGAUAGGGGAGAAAAAGAAAAGCACAAAGGCAAGAAACCAGAGUGUUCAUUAGGCAAAGAGAAUUGACAGAAAUGGGGAAAAUAAAUUUUGAAAGGUCAGAAAGGAAAGGGCUCGAUAAGAGGAGCCAUCAUCAAGUCCAAAGUGUUAUGAAGGUCAAUUUAAUCUCCCCAAGUUUACCUCUCGUCUUGGCGAAGAGGGGAGGAUUCUCAUGUUUGGUAGUCUUGGAAAGAAAAGGGAAAAAUUAAAUCUAUACAUGCUCAUUUUGCAUGUCCAGUCAUUUAUUGUGUAGUCCCUACAAAGUCAACAUAAAAAAGCAGAAGAUAACCACAAAACGAGUAGAAAUAAAAGAAACAGAUUCAUUCCACCAAUCAACAUCUAAGAUACUUGUCUAAAGGAUAGAAUCAAUCGUGCCGAAAACAAUAUAAUGUGUUUGUUCAAGCUUUUUGAAACUCACCUGAAUGCAGCCAUCUUCACAUCCCACAGCCCAAAAGUUGGCAUUUCCAGCCAAAACAGUAACUUUUCCAGUAAUCCGGUCAGACCAGAGAGUUUGAGCGCCUCUGGAACAAAGGAUCUCAGUUUCUUUCAUUACAAAUGAAUUUCCUGUCCCCAAAACAUCAUUGGCAGCUUGUUCUCUGGGUUGAGCCUCUAAGCAAAUUGGACCAGUGUCCACCCCUUCUUUAUUAUCAAAAACCCUGAUUAAAAGUGUACCACCAGUACCCAAAUGAGAUGGAUCUUUGACAAUUCCCAUCUGUUCAAUGCUGAUACUUCCAUCCUUGCCUGCAGAAGGUGGAACCUUCUCAAUGAUGAGGCUAUCACUGAUGGUACCUCUAGCAGUUACACCUGAGCGCUCCCUUUGAUCAGCACUGACACUAACUGUUUUCCUUGCAAAUACUUCUCUAACACUUGCAUCAGACAGUACCAUACCAUUCUCAUCUUUACUCUGCUCCACUGUCAUAUUAGGAAAUUCAACGACAGGAGAUUGAGCAAUUCCAGAGGUGUUCUCCUGCGGGGUAGGAAAACCAACUGAUUCUGGAAUUAUCCUCUUUCGACCAUCAGGCCUUCUGUACUCUCUUUGCUUCACGGGACUUGACAAGCGUGUAGAAGCUGCGGGUUUAGCUAAACUAUCACUGUUAACUCCUUCAGUCUUUUUCCCAUUAUCAGAUUUUGGUUUGGGAACAAUCACCACACUACCCAAAUCAACAGAAGAUUUUGACGUUGCUUGAACUUGUGGAAGAUCCGUAGUUAGUUUUUUGCUUGAAGUUUGCUUUGCAGCUGCAGCUUCAAGCAAUAGUUGUGCUGGACUUUCGGCUAAAUUUGCUUGUCGACCUCUAACAUCACCAUAGCGGCUUCUCUUCAACUCCUCUAAUUCAGCAUCAGAAAGCUGAUGACCUAGUUCUUUCUCAUCAAAAUGGAAAGUGGCUACACUUCCAUCCAAAGAACAUGCAAACAGUGAAUAUCCAUCAGGGCUCCUGCACAGAGAAAAUUAUAUCCUGAAAGAAAGCCAAAAAGAACAAAGACAAUUCAAGAUGGAAAAUGUCUUUACUGUUGUGAAAAGACCAACAUUUAUGAUGCUAUGAGCUAACUUACCAUGAUAAAUCCACAACACUUUGAGCAAAGAAAUGCUUGGCAACAAAAAGAGGACGUGGACUCGCUGUAGUCCACACAGUUAUGGUGCGAUCUUGACUUCCUAUAGCAAUAACAUUGUAGGGUUGGGACUCUUUUCCUCCACUUUUUGAAGAACCAUUUGACCAUCCAAGAGAAGCAUUUUUCACUUCCUGAGCAUUAGCCGAAUUCCUCCGAAACAUAGAAUGAUUGAACUUAACGACAAUAAUAGGAGCAUUGUGUCCUAAGAAGUCAAAGGUGGCAGACCAUUCCCCUCUCUCCAGAACAGGAGCAGAGUGCCUAGGCUUUUGAAAACCAUGAGUAGUAGUUAUAUAGUGUCCACAGGGUGACCAUCCAAGCCGCCUAAAGAAGGUCGACCCAAGCUGAAAAAAAUACACAAUUGUUAGGAUAUAGGUUUCAGUAAGAAAAAUAAAAUAAAAUUUAAGAGUAUAGGAAACUCACAGAUUUUGCCCAGUGACCUUCCGUUCUAUGAGCAAGACUCCAGUCACUUGUUCGCCAAAUGAUGACAGUCUUAUCAUCUGAUUGACUAGCUAUAAAUGAACCAAUUGGAUCCCAGGUGACACCUUUAACAAGACUAGAGUGACCCCUCAGAACAGCAGAGCAUAUACCAUUGCUCAUAUUCCAGAUAUGGAUGGUGUUGUCCAUACUACCACUAGCCAAUGUCGAGUCGUCUGGAGACCAAUUUAGAUCCACCUACUUUAAACAUGGAAAGAGCAACCUAUUGGUUAGAAAGUACAUGGUUAGACCAUAUAGGCAUCUAUUCAGAAGCAUAUAUGAAUUCAAAUGAUUUCAAGGUCCACUGAAUGACAAAGUUCUCAGAUUUUACUCACAAUCAGAGCCAAAGGAUAGGAGAUUAAGAAAGAGGUUUGUCAAAAACUAAUAUGAUUUUAGCACCCAAGGGUGUGACCAAGUGGUCAAUGAAGUAGGUUCAGCACCAUGAGGUUCAAAUCCAAACACUAGGUGUUUAGGAGGUGGCGGGAAUUGUGUGGAAAUAGUCAAGAUGCACACAUGCACGGCCAGACACCACGGUUAUCAAAAAAGAAAUCAUUUGCAUGGCAAGCAAAUUAGUUAUUUAGAAGCUAAAAGAUCAGUCUCAUUACCACAUCCGCAGUGUGUCCUCUCAAUGUCAUGGUAACUUUCCAGUUCUCUACAUCAGGAGGCUCUCCACUGCCAAACUCUGUGGUUCCCGAGCCAGGUUUCCUCUCAUGGACUUGAAUCACCUGGUCAUCGGAUCCAGAAGCAACAUACCGACCAUGUUUUGCCCAUCUAACACAGUUCACUGACCCAAAAUGAUCACGUAGUGUGGCAAGAAGUUUUGGUGUAGAUUCAUCUGCUUCCAAGUCUUUACCCACACAUUUCAUGUUCCAUAUCCGAACCUGAAGACACGUUAAAUGCACAUAAUGCAAAGUACUUUGCUAAUAACAGUAUACUGCAGUAAUGCAGAAAACAUAUAUGAGUAUCAAGAUAGAAGCUUCUCACUCUAACAAGCAAAACUAAGUUGAGAAAAUAAACCAUACAGAAGCAAAAAAUGCCUUCACAGAGGAUCAGAAGUGAUACCAAAAGCUAGAUAUUUAACUAAUUUGCACAUUUUCGCUGUAAGAAAACUAAUCCAAAAAUCUUUAAUGAAAUGGCAUUUCUUACAAGGACAAACAUACUUUAAACUCCCCACCACUUGAGAAUCUUGAUCACACAGAUAUAGCAUACUCUCAAUCUUCAUUUCACUAUGAAAAAAAACCAAAAUAACCUUACAGCUUCCAAAGAAACAACAAUUUGUUAGUGCUCCACUAAAUCAUGAACUAAUUGAAUUCAUAACCAACUUCAAUUGUUCAGGUUCCAAAAUCCACGAACAACUAGAAAUAUCCAUCAACAACAACAACAUACCACACAGUGUAAUCCCACAAGUGGGGUCUAGCGAGGGUAGACUGUACGCAGACCUUACUCCUGCCUUGGGAGGUAGAGAGGUGAUAGAACCUCAGCUCAUGGAAAAGCAUAUCAAAGCAGAACGCAAAAGAAAUAACUGAAGUGAAGUGCUCAUGGAAAAAUACUAUAGAAAGCAUGAUAAAGCACCCUCUUUUAAAAGGAACAAUAAAUGCACCAUAGAAGUGCGAUAAUCGAAGUACACUAGACAGUAGAUAGUAACAGAAACCAUGUUCAUCAACUAGUUAAAACUAUUAGUUCACAGCUCCCAAAAUAUUUAACUAAAUUUUCCCUACACCAACCUAUGAAUAGCUAAAAAGUUAAUAAAGGCAAACAAAAAACAAGAAUGACAAAGCAGUUACCUUAUGAUCACCACCACCAGUGGCAAACCUAAGGCCACCUGGCUGAAUAUCAAUGGAGAAAAUCUGCAUACUCUCAUGUCUAAUCCAAGUAGGUUUCUCAGCAAUCAUCUUUCACAAUUCUGAAAUUCUUGAUUUCUUUGCUGCUAAACCCCAAAGACUCCACCUUUUUCACGCUAAACCCAAAAAACAAAAACCCCACAACUUCAAAAUUAACAUACCAACCACUAAAAAAGAAAAAACCCCAAAAUCAAACACAACAAAAAAAAUUACCCCCACAAGAAAAAAAAAGAGUAAAGAGAUAAAACCCUAGUUGAGAAAAACCAAAAAAAGGGAAAAGACCCAAAAAGGAGUAAAAUUUGGAGAAAAAAAAUAAUCUUGAUUUAUUCAGUUUCAAAAAACAAAAAAAACCCUAGAUUUUGAAAGUAAAUGGUGAAGUGGGGUUGAAAUUUUAUCAAGAAAAAAGAAAGAUUUAAUGCAAAAUUUAAUGGUUUUGCUAACUGUCAAAUCUAAUAAAAAGAUUAAAGAGUGAAAAAAAGAUUGCAAAAAAAGUAGAAGAAUAUAACAAAGGGGAAUCUAUUCAAGUCUUGUUAACACAAAAAAAAAACAGAAGAGAAAAGAAGUGAAGUGUUGUGUACCAGGUAUUUUUGUAGGGUAAAAAAAUUUGAGAGAAGACAAAGAGGCACACAUAAAGUAAUGUUUUUUUUUUUGUUAAACAUAUAAGGUUUGUAAUGUUUAAGUAGCGGUAUUGUGAACAUUAAGUUAUGGGACAAGUUUUUUUUUUUAAUAAUGACGAUGUUCGAGCCAGUUUACGUAUAGGAAUAUUUCUAUAAUAUUAUCUGUUGAUAUUUGGUAAAUUAAUAAUUUUUUUAAGAUAAUAUCAGUGAUGUUUUUUAAAUGAGAAGUUAUUUUUUUAUAUGAUUUUAAGGAAUUUCUUAUGUUGAUUAUAUAAUUUAUUCUCUCACUGUUAUAUAUAGAAUGUUUUUAAUAAAGAUACAAUGAAUAAUAUUUGAUUAUUAAAAAUCAAUGAAUUGUUGAAUUGUUGAAUUUAUUUUACAAUGAAUUAUUUAAUAAAAAAAUAUAUUACAAUGAAUCAUACACAUACAAUAUACUUUUUAUAUAAUUCAAUAAUAUGAUGUAUAAUUUAGUAAUAUACAAUGAUUUUGAUGUAUUCAUUGUACUUUAUAUAUGAUAAAUUAUUAUUUUUAUAUGUGAAUUCAAUAAAAAUGAUACAUAAAUUAGUAAGGUACAAUAAUUUUGAUGUAAUCAAAACUCAAAAUUAAUCUUCAUUGAAUCUCAAAACACUCUUUAAAUUAAUAAAUAUUAAUUUAUUGAUUAAAUAAUACCUCUACAAAAUAAUAAUAUUUCAUGGUCCCGUCUAUAUUAAUUUAGUAAGAUUUUUACUUUAAUAUAUUUGAAUUAACAUGUAAUUUUUUUAAAAUAAUCUAGUAAUUUUAAAUUAAAUACAUAUUAAUAAAUCGAAAUACCCUUUAAAUUCUAUAACAUUCAAUAUAUCAAUAUGACAUUGAAAUUAAACAAAAAAGUUCACUACAUAUAUAAAGUGAUAGUGCUUUAUUAGGGAGGUUUUAUUACUCAAUGUAAGAUUUUUGAAAAUCACCAAGAUUAAUAAGCAAAAAGAAAUAAAUAUAAACAAAAUAAAUAAAUAAAUUACAAAAUUUUAAAAAGCCCACUAGGCAGCCCAUAACAAAAAACCCAACUAACAAAAUCGAACCGAAAUAACAUAAACCGAACCGAAAUACCGAAUGUCCAGUCUUACCAAGAUAGUGGUAGAAUUGUUUCAACCUUAAUAAAAGGUUUCGAGUUCGAAUUUUGGAUAUGGAAAAAAUCUUAUUGAGAGCGCUACCUCAAAUGGGUCAUGCAGUGCGUGAUUCGAAUUUAGUCAGGCUUCAAUGUAAGUUUUUUGAAAAUCAAAAUUUAGUCAAACUUUAAUAACCAGACACAAAAAAUUAUAUUUAAAAAAAAAUAUUAGUACUACUGCUACUUAAAUUUCAGUUUCCAACUGUUCCAACUGUAAAAGCAAACGAACUGGCAAUGAUUCUAAGGCCGUGUUUGGAAAAAGUAAGGCCUUUGCUGCAUUUCAAGAAUCCAUUGAACACCCAUUGUUGUUCUCAUUCAUUCGCCAUUGAUUUCGAAGAAGAAGCUCAAACCAAGUCUUUUGAAUCUUCAAAUUAUCUCCCUGCACACCAAGUGUUUGAUGAAAAGUCUCAGAAAGUUUCUUUGAACAAUCACUUGCUAUUUGAGUACUCCCGGAAUAGUUUCAAUGUAGAAGCUCUGAAUCUGUUUGUGGGUAUUCAUCGUAAUGGAUUUUCGAUUGAUGGGUUGAGUCUUUCUUGUAUAUUAAAGGUCUCUGCUUGUCUGUUUGAUUUGUUUUUUGGUAAACAAGUGCAUACUCUUUGUGUUAAAUCUGGUUACUUUGACAAUGUUAGUGUUGGGACUUCACUUGUUGACAUGUAUAUGAAAAUGGAGAAUGUUGAUGAUGGUCAGAAAAUGUUUGAUGAAAUGGAGGAUAACAAGAAUGUUGUGACUUGGACUUCGUUGCUUUCGGGUUAUUCGUGUAAUAAGUUGGUUGAUAGAGCGUUAGAAGUGUUUCGUGUAAUGUUAGUUGGAGGAGUUAAGCCUAAUGCGUUUACUUUCGCGACAGUUCUUGGAGUUUUGGCUGAUAAAUGUGUAGUUGAAAAAGGGAUUCAAGUGCAUAGUAUGGUUAUCAAGUGUGGUUUUGAGGCGACAACAUCUGUUGGGAAUUCUUUGAUUAAUAUGUAUUUGAAAUCUGGGAUGGUUAGAGAGGCUACAGCUGUAUUUGAGGGUAUGGGAGAUAGGAAUGAAGUAUCUUGGAAUGGUAUGAUAGCUGGUCUGGUGACUAAUGGGCUUUAUUCCGAAGCACUUAAGUUGUUCCACAUGAUGAGACUUGCAGGUGUGGAACUGACACGAUCGAUUUAUGUUACAGCUGUUAAAUUAUGUACUAAACUUAAAGAAUUGGUUUUUGCAAGACAACUUCAUGGUCGAGUUAUGAAGAACGGGUUCUAUUUUGACAAUAAUAUCAGAACAGCACUCAUGGUCUCUUAUACUAAGUGUGGAGAGAUGGACGAUGCCUUCAAGUUAUUCUCUAUAAUGCAUAAAUUCAGGAACGUGGUUUCUUGGACCGCAAUGAUUGGCGGGUAUAUGCAGAAUAACAGACAAGAGCAAGCGGCGAAUCUCUUUUGCCAAAUGAAAAAGGAUGGGAUAAGGCCAAACGAUUUCACUUAUUCAACUAUUCUUGCAGCUCAUCCAUCUAUUUCGCUGUUCCAAGUACAUGCAGAAGUCAUCAAGACUGAGUACCAGAGCUCACCUACCGUCGGAACUGCAUUAUUAGACGCCUAUGUGAAAACAGGAGAUACUGAUGAGGCUGCGAAAGUUUUUGAAGAGAUUGAUGAGAAGGACAUUAUUGCAUGGUCUGCUAUGUUAUCUGGUUAUGCGCAAAAAGGAAACAUUCAAGGUGCUGUCAGAGUCUUCCGGCAACUAGUCAAAGAUGGGGUCAGGCCAAAUGAGUUUACCUUCUCCAGUGUCAUCAAUGCGUGUGUUACUUCCAUGGCAUCAGUGGAGCAAGGAAAACAAUUUCAUUGUAGCGCGAUCAAAUCAGGUCACAGUAAUGCCUUAUGUGUGAGCAGUGCCUUGGUAACUAUGUAUGCUAAGAGAGGAAACAUAGAAAGUGCAAAUGAGAUUUUCAAGAGACAACCAGAAAGAGACUUAGUUUCAUGGAAUUCAAUGAUAUCAGGAUAUGCCCAACAUGGUUAUGGCAGAAAAGCUCUAAAGAUAUUCGAGGAAAUGCGGAAAAGGAAUUUGGAUAUGGACAAUAUAACGUUCAUUGGAGUUAUCUCUGCUUGUACUCAUGCUGGACUGCUAAAUGAAGGUCAAACAUAUUUUGAGAUGAUGGUAAACGACUUUCAUAUUUCACCAAAAAUGGAGAUAUACUCUUGCAUGGUAGACUUGUAUAGCCGAGCUGGAAUGCUGGAUAAAGCCAUGGCUCUUAUCAAUGAAAUGCCAUUUCCUGCUGGUGCAAUUGUGUGGCGUACUCUUCUGGCAGCAAGUCGAGUUCAUCGCAAUGUAGAGCUGGGGAAACUGGCGGCCGAGAAUCUCAUUUCUCUUCAGCCUCAGGACUCAGCUGCAUAUGUCCUUCUAUCCAAUCUCUAUGCUGCAACGGGAGAUUGGCAAGAAAGAGCGAAAGUAAGGAAACUAAUGGAUGUGAGAAAAGUUAAAAAAGAGAUUGGGUAUAGCUGGAUUGAGGUUAAGAAUAAGACCUACUCAUUCAUGGCAGGUGAUGCUUCGCAUCCCCUAUCUGACAGUAUAUACAUGAAACUCGAAGAGUUACGUGGCCGAUUGAAGGAUGCAGGAUAUCAACCGGAUACAAAUUAUGUUCUUCAUGAUGUGGAAGAUGAACAUAAAGAAGCCAUUCUUUCUCGGCACAGUGAAAGGUUAGCUAUUGCUUUUGGAUUGAUUGCCACGCCUCCAGGAAUUCCCAUUCAGAUUGUGAAGAAUCUCAGAGUUUGUGGUGACUGUCACACUGUUAUUAAAUUAAUAUCAAAGAUAGAAGGAAGGCAAAUAGUCGUCAGGGAUUCAAAUAGAUUCCAUCACUUUAAAGGAGGUCUAUGUUCUUGCGGUGAUUAUUGGUGAAUUCAAGCUCUUCGAAUAGACGAAGAGAUAGCAGCAUAUCACAGUUGGUUCCUGUAUAAGCAAAGGCACCAUUAGCUAAUGGAGCUUUAGCUUACAGGGCUAUACCCGAAGUUGCAUCAAUUAUCAGCCUCCAGAUAAUACUAUCACUAAUGGUUGUUUUGUUCAUGGAUUCAAACUUUGAUAGUGCACAGUCUAGAGGAAGAAACAGAGAAUUUUCCAACUUUACAUAUCUGCCGAUUCAAGUUAUUUUAUUUAUGGACUGAGGGAUAGAAAUGCUGUCAUUUUGGCUGAUUUUUAAGAGCAGUUGACAGAUCACGAUCCGCCUUACAGAAAACAAUCAGAAACUCAGAAGAAUUAAUUUGAGUGGAGGUUUAGUUUUUUCCUGAAGAUAAAGAAAGUCAGAGACUCUUGUCACUUACCAAGACUCAAAGUAUGUCUUCUGGUAUUUUGUUCAACAUGGUUUUUCUGGUCUUGCUGCUCGUAAUGCUGUAUUCGGUAGGAAAGGUGAUCUUGCAACAACGAUGAUGACCAACUAGCAGCUCUUUCUGAUUAUGUUUUCAUUUGAACCUAACCUUGAGCAUGUCAAACUCAUGAAGGAUGUGGAAAUGUUCGAGUCCAGGAAGGACCAUUCAGUAACGCCUUUUGACAACAGCUGACACUUCGGAGAUUUCCUGCUACCCCAUAAUAACCUCUUCCAGAAAAUCUAUAUUCAGAUACAGGGUAGAACCAUUAACUGUGUUUAUGCAUUGCUACAUUACUGAAGUUUAUCCAACUGAUGAGUCGAUUCUAUAUCGACGACUCAAUGAGUUGAAACAUCUCAGGUUUUUCCUCAUAUUUCAUAAAAAAUGACGAAUUCCUCACUGUUUUCUUCUUAUGUUGUAGGGAUUGGUAACAUGAACCUGCAGACUCAAUUGAUGAUGAGGAAGUAGCUGCAAAGACUAGGAAAAAGAAACUGGAAUAGCAGAUGCCUAGCACAUAUUCGCCAAGCUUUUGCUUCUGCUGACUUGUUGGGCCUAUGGAUCAGACUUGAAAUCAAAGAGAGGCUGCACAUAUGUGCUAGAUUUUCCGCAAAUAUGCAUCCAUGGUCAACCUUAUUGUCUUGAAAUUGUUAAGUUCUUGUUUUGUGAGGAUUCUGUAGGGAGCUCUGUGAGAGGAGGCCUCUAGUAUGUCCAUGAUGUUCAGGCCAGCCUGCGUGCACCUCGACUAAUUCCACAGUGGUACUUGCUACUUUCGAACAACAUAGGUACCGGGCAACUCUGUCCACCAACUUUUGUGUGGACAACGACAGACAAAAUGGUUCUUGGCAAGACAAGAGUUUUAACUAUAGAAUUGUCUUCUUUCUCUCUUUUUUGCCUUUUAGUUUCGAGGUAUCUAGGAGUUCUAAAAUGGUCUUAAUUCCUACCGUGUGCUAAAUUCACUCUCUGGUGUGAUGAUGGAUCUUAUUGUGCAGCUUGGAUUAUUUUUUCUGUCAUUCUUGAUUCCUAUGAAUGAUGAAUGAGUUGUUUACUCAAUCCUGUAUUUCAAUUACAUUUUUGAACUGACACUUGGGAUUGAUUUGCAUUUAUGGAAAUCUGAAAUGAUUAGAUCAGUAUGAUUUGUGUAUAAGAUAUACAUUUCUUCAUGUUAUUUAUACCAAUAACUAGUGUAUUGAUAAGUGUUCUUGGAGUAGUUGGUCCUGCCCUUAGCCUAAGUGCCUAUGAUUUCAUUUUUCAGGCAAUUUUGCUUAACUUGUUCUUUAGUAAGUUUAUCUACAACAUUUGGUGACGCCUUAUUUGGGGUGGUAUCAUUUAAAUCGAAGUCCCUCUCUGGGGCCAUCUCGUUUAAUCGAAGUCAACUGACUCAUAAUAGUGAAAAUUGGCACACGCGUCGGAUCCAUUAGAAGAUGAAGCUUGCACCAGUCAUGAACUUUGAGUCAUCACCUUGAGGUAACUUCAGAAGGUAAGUAGGAAUGCUCAUGAAAUGAUUACAAAGUAAUUGCAAUUAGCAUUGUAAAAGGAAUAAUACAACAAAGAUACUAGCAAAAUGUUCUGUCUUGACAUUGAUAAAUACAUGCAAAGCUAAAACUAAUACAAUCCAAGAAGGUAAACAAUGUCAACCUCCCAUUUGGAGAGCCUUUGAAUAUCGCGAAUUUUUCAGACAAGUAGAAGGGAGAAAGAAUACAAAUCAUGGCAACUCCCGGUGUAGUAGUUAUCAGAGAUGCAUCAAUCUCUUCAACCUUCUUCUCCAAAUUCCUUUGUGAAUCUGUCGUGCACUUCAAGGUCGGAUUUACUAACUGUUGGCCUUUGACGAGCAAGAACCUUAUCAAAGUCUGUCUUUGUAAUGGGUGGCGGGAUGAUCUGCAAGGGCAUUAAUCAGCAAGCUGUUUAUAACUAGUCCCGGCAGAUAAGAAGACAGUUUAUGUAAAGCCAUAUCAGAACUUCAGACUAAAAUAUUACUAGUAAUUUUUUUCUUGAGCAGAGGAUCUAUCGGAAACAACCCCUCUCUACCUAACAAGGGUAGGGUAAGGACUGCGUAUACUCUACAUUCCUCAUACCCUACUUGUGGGAGCACACUGGGUCUGUUGUCGUUGUUGUUAAUUCUAAUAUCAGCUAUUCAGAAUUGACACAUAGGAAGAUGUAGUUCAUUAAAAGCACAAUCUCUUCUUACAUUUUAGUUCAACAAAAUCAUAUGAUACGCAGACCUUUAUGCUAGAAUCACAUUUAAUUACUGUAUUACUAGUGACUCGAAAGAAGUCAAAUUUCCAGACAUGUGCAGUCGUACUCCCCGGCCCCAAUAGAUUCCAGCUAAAACUCAUAAAACUUUUUUUUCUUUUUUGAGAAAGGUAAAGUUGCAACCAAAUAAAAAACUACUUAUGGCAGUGAUCUCAAACUAUACAUGUAUCCCGAAUAUCUACCUGAGAUGCAAGUCCUUUAGCAGCAAGCUCCUGCAUAGUUGUCUGCACAGCACCCCGUUGCUUCGGUCCGCAUGGAAUCCAGGUACCAUUAGAAGUUUGAGUAAAGAACACAGCAUCUUGUGUCUUACGUACGGGUUCAAAUAGCACGUCCUUGACCUGUCCAAGAAGAAAAAGUAUAUAAAUAUAUUAGGAGAACAUUGAGGAAUUGCCGCCUUUGUUACCUUCAGUACAAACCAGACAAAAACAUGUUGGGCAUCAAGGCAAAUUCAUUAAGGUCCAGACUUACACAAACAGAAACAUCUGAACCAGAAAAACCUUCUGUCUUACGGGCCAGGUCUUCAAAGUCACUCUCGCUCAAGUUAUGGGGGGUAUCACCUAAAUGAACCUGCACGUGUAACAAGCCAAUCUAAAUAAAUCUAGCUCUCACAAAUCGACUUGCAAUAUAUUUCCUUGAACUUCACUUUCCAAGAAAAAUCACAGAACAGAAUUUUACUUUGAACAUUUUUUUUUUGAUGAAGUAGUUUCAUUUAAAGGCGGGAUUUACUUUGAACAUGUGUUGCCGUGCCUUCAAAUCAGGGAGCGGAAUGUAGAUACGCUUGUCAAAUCUUCGCCGUAUAGCCUGUAGAGGACAAUUUCCAUCAGCAAUAAAUUUCAAAGAUAAACAACUUUUUACUGCAAAUCAUUCUUCACCUGAUCUAGGGCAUAGGGUGUGUUUGUCGCCGCAAGUACAAGAACUUUAUCAUCAUUGUGUCCAACACCCUGAAAAACAAAUUAAGAAAAAAAUAUCUUUAGCCAGGGGGAUUUCUCUUCCUCCAUAGCCAUGAUAGAUCAAUUACCUGCAUCUGCACAAGGAGUUCUGUUUUAAUACGUCGAGAAGCUUCACUUUCAUUUCCUUCUCCUCGCUGCCCACACAAGGAAUCAAUUUCAUCAACAAAUAUGAUGGAAGGAGCGCUUUCACGAGCCAUUUGGAAGAGGUUUGAAACUAGCUUUUCACUUUCACCCAUCCACUUGGAUACAAGGUCUGAUGAUGAGACGCUGCACGAAAAUAGCAGUUGGCACUCGCCAACUUUACAGCGUAAGCUCUUGAAAAUGGGAAACUGAGAAAAUAACUGACAAAGAAACAGAUACAGAACGACUAUAUUCAUGCAAGCAAUUCAUGUUUAUAUCCCUCCAUCAAGAUGAUUAUGUGCAAGUUUAAAAGAGAAAUUAGAUAGUGCAAAUGGAAGAUAUAUUACCACUGAGAACUGCAGAGAUUUCACGGAAUACUUGCAGGUAUAGAAUCAUUCAAGGAAUCAGGAAUCUUGACAUGGACCGCAAAAUGGAAGCCGAGUAUAUUAAAAUUUCAGGAAAAGGGUCAUUGUACUGUGUACAUAUUGUAUUUUGCUUCUAGAAAGGCAUCAAUCCAAUAAUUUCACAUGCUAUAGCUUGGUUGUCUCUAUUCAGGAGAUGUUAGGCAUCCCAAUAACCCCCACAAUGGCUCAUUGGUCAUCCCCUUAUGCUAGACUAUAGUCUUCACAUCCUGAAUACUUCCUAAGAUGGACAUGCAAAGACAUUUAUAUUAUGACUUAAGGGUGGAUGUGUACCUCUAUGGCAUGGCUGCUCUAUAGAAUUGGUACCAAAUCAAAACAUUCAACACCCUUGGAUACCAGACUAUAUUUAUCAACCAAUUCCAACAUCACAUUCUGUCCUAGAUGUAUAGAUCUGCAAGUGACACACCACCGAGGGGGACAACCCAGAUAUGACAUUUCUGGGGGAAAAGAACCUCAUGGGAAGUAGAUAUCCAAAAGAACCAUAAAGUCUUAACAAAAAUAAAGCUAAUAUAAAUACUACUCCCUCCAUUUCAAAUUAAUUGAAUUGUUGAGACAUUUUUCAUUUUUCAAUUUACUUAAUUGUUCAAUUAAAAAAAUUGUUCAAUUUUCAAGACUACUUUUAGAAUGUUCUUCCAAUUUUACCCUUCAUUAGUUAGCAUUGGAAUUAGUUAUUAAUUAGUCUUAAGUUAUUUUAAUCAUAAAUUUGACAAUAAUUAAUUAGGGUAAAAAUGGAAUGUUAUGCCUAAUUUAUGUCUUAAUCUUCUUUUCUUAAAGGGUGUGAAACAUCUCAACAAUUCAAUUAAUUUGAAAUGGAGGGAGUAUAAUUUAUGAGCAGAAAAUCAUUUCCCACAACAAAUAAGGAGCAACACCCACGAAACUACAACAACAACAACAACAACAACAACNNNNNNNNNNNNNNNNNNNNNNNNNNNNNNNNNNNNNNNNNNNNNNNNNNNNNNNNNNNNNNNNNNNNNNNNNNNNNNNNNNNNNNNNNNNNNNNGAGACAAUAACAAGAAAGAUAUAGGGAGUGAAACGCAGUAAACAGCAAAAGGCUAGGACUGCUCCAAACGCUAACAACCCAAGCCUUCGCAAGGGAAGACAACCCGCUAACCCUACUAACCUUCAACCUUAAUACGCGACCUCCACUCCUUCCUAUCUAGAGUCAUGUCCUCGGUGAUGUGAAGCAUAGCCAAGUCUUGUCUAAUCACCUCUUCCCAAUACUUCUUGGGUCUACCUCUACCCCUCCGCGUACCCUCUACCACCAUUACCUCGCACCUCCUCACUGGGGCGUCUGCACUCCGUCUCUUCACAUGUCCAAACCAUCUCAGUCUCGCUUCCCUCAGCUUGUCCACCACAGAGGCCACUCCCACCUUCUCCCGGAUAACCUCAUUCCUAAUCUUGUCGCUCCUAGUGUGCCCACACAUCCAUCUCAACAUCCUCAUCUCCGCAACAUGCAUUUUAUGAACAUGUGCGUUCUUAACUGGCCAACACUCCGCUCCAUACAACAAGGCCGGUCUAACUACCACUCUGUAGAACUUACCUUUAAGUUUCGGUGGAAUUUUCUUAUCACACAAUACUCCAGAGGCAAGCCUCCAUUUCAUCCAAGCAGCCCCAACGCGAUGUGUGACAUCAUCGUCGAUAUCGCCACUCCCUUGGAUUACAGCCCCAAGAUACUUAAAACUUUCCUUCUUAGGAAUGACUUGUGCGGCAAGUCUCACUUCCACAUCAUGGAUAUUGGAUCAUGACCAAGAUGGUAAAUUAGCAGGAGUUAAUUAAGAUUCAAACAAAACAAAAACAUUCUGAACGUACUGAGCAUAUAAAGAGGCUUACAUCAGCCAACUCCAUGCAAAGGCACAAGCAUCAUCCCACACUCCAAGAAGGAAAACGAAGGCAAUGUAAAAGACUCCUAGUCGACUUGGAUAUUGAACCACAUUCUAUAUUUAGUGAUUGAGCCCUUUACGUUCCUUACUACUACUGAUUCUUGACUCAAGCACCAAAUUACAUCAAAACAUCAUUCAUGCAAAGAAGAAAAUCAACAAGAGAAUAUGAGAAAGGAAGGUCAUAAAAACUAUAAAGAUAACAAAUUAUGAGAAAGGAAGGCCAAAAAAAAAAUUAUAAAGGAAAUUAAAUAAGAACCUAACAAGCAAAUGGUACAUCUUCUCCCCCGACUUCUUAUUGGUAUUCUGAGAUUUUCCUUUACAAUCUUUAGGGCUGCUAAGCAGAUCCUCAUUUUGCUCAAGAUCUUUUUUUCUUCACGAAUGACAGAUGAUAUGAUGUACAAAUUUUGCAAUUUAAAUACAGCCUUUCGUAUUUACAAAAUAAAAGCUGCAGUGAAUCAGGAAAUAUCUGAAGUUGAUAGCUUCUAUGUGCUGUAAAAUGGACAACAUUAUCAACAAACACAAUUGCAUGUAGGAAGACAAAUACCUAAAAAAAGUGGAUUCUGCUUCAGUAGCAACAGCUUUGGCCAAGUAAGACUUUCCUGUCCCAGGAGGACCAUAAAGAAGAAAAGCUCUCCACGGUCGCCUCUUGCCUGUAGGUACAUGAGAAAGGAGAAAAAAAACACUCAAACUGUUGUGGACAAAAGCACCCAAAAGAUUGCUCAAGUUAUGUCAUGCACACGUUGCAAAACCACUCAACCAUCUCUAAUAUAACACAAAGAGAAAAAGAACAUAUUACUCACCAAGUUUUUUUUCCUUAAUGAUUUUUAUCCCACUACUACUUUUUUGGUUGAGCUAGGAAGAGCUGUAACAUGAAUCCUGGACUAACUAUAAAGAGAAAUUCCAAAAUGUGGGAUUUACUCAGAGUUCACCUCUCAUACUUCAAAAGAAAAAGCCAGACAACCAACUGUCUCUAAUUGCUAAGCAAUGCAAUUAACCAAUCAGUUACCCAAGUAUAGAAGACCAUUUGCUCAAGAUCAUGCAGUCACAGGCAAAGAACUUCCUCCUUCACAUCGAGGCUCUUCAGGAAUCUAGUCAUGAGACUCCCAAAAUUGUACCUAAGGCCCUUUGGCAGCCUAGCCUUCUUCAUUGUAGACUUCAGCAUUUUCUUUACCAAACUUCACAUUUCAAAACACAUGCACAGACGCGCUCACACAAAUGUUGAAAGACAUUUAGAAUGUAGAGAAGUUAACUCAUCCACAGCAUCACUAAUAACCUAAGAACUCUUAAACAUGCUCAACAAAAAGCAAUUCAUUUUCUACUCAUAUUCAGCUAUCUACAGACUAACCUGGCACUUUGUGGUCCCCAAAUUGAAAGGGUUUAAAAUGUACAAUAGGUAAAGACUCAAACUUACUUCUUUCCAUAAGUUAAAAACUAGAACUAUUGGAACCCAUGUAACCCCAAUUAUGACAUAAGUGUCUUCUAACUAAUACUCCAUGGUGUUUGGUUUGCAACAUAAAACUCUGUAUAACUGCCUAUAAUUCCCACUGCAUAAUAAGCACUAUAAUCCCUUUAACGACACCUAACAUCAUAUUGCUACUUCCUUUACCCAAAAAAAAACUAAGGCAUAAUACAUAAACAGACACUCAAACUUGGCCUCAGCUCUCAACUGGCAACUAAAAACUACAACUUGCCCCCACUAUGUCUCGUGGAUACCCUGCACUGAUGUAGCUCAUAAAUUAUGGAGGUGUCUAGAUGAUCAUUUUGUAAGUUGGAGUGUUCAACGGACAGAGUGGAGACGAGUUGAAGUGUCAAGAUGGAGUGCUUACUUGCUAGCUGAGGGCAUGUUUGAGUGUCUGUUUAUGUAUUAUGCCAAAAAAUAAUUGUGUUUAAGCUACUUCAGAAUCACAAGGAAACCAUCAAUCAAAGCAACAAUCUUUACUAGCAAAAUGCAGCAAUAACACAAAAACAAUCCAACAAAAGCAUACACACACCUGUGAAGAACUGAGGGAAUUUCACUGGCAAAAUGACAGCUUCCUGCAAUGCCUGUUUAGCACUCUCCAAUCCAGCAACAUCAUUCCACUUCACAUUAGGUUUCUCUCUAACAAUUGCUGAAUUAAGCCCAGCCCUUAGCUUAGACUGCUCAGGAUCCUCCCCAUCCUCACCAUCCUUAGGCUUAGUCUUAGGCUUAGCAAUCACAGCUGCAUCUCCUCCAUUUGGACCAGGCCCACUCCCACCCUCAUCCAACACAGCCCUAAUCUCCUCCGCACGGCGUAAAUACUCUGUAAAUUUCUGGGUAAUUGCCUCCUUAAUCUUAGGAUUCUUCUCGUACUUCAAAUGGGUCUUGAAGUACUCCAAUGCAUUCAUAUACAACGGAAAUGCCUUGGCAUAGUUUCCACUAUUGUCCUCUUGCACUGCUUGCCUUACGUAAUCAAUUGCUUGCUCCUUGAAAUUGCUAUACAUCUUCGAUCAUAUAGAAAAAAAAAACCCACAAAAUUAACCAAGCAAAUUUCAGGGUUUUGAUCAGAACUCAAAAGGGUGUCCGCAAAACCACAAAACUAACCAAGAAAAUUAAUGGGUUUUCAUCAGAACUCAAAAGGGUGUUCGAAAAAAGUUGAUUUAAGAAAAAAAAAUCAUAUAAACAGUGUUCUGAGUAAUGGAUCUUUUUGAAGAUUUUGAGCUUUUUUGGGUGGAUUAGGAACCCUAAAAAUUGGGGAUUUUGGUUUUGAUUUAAGAAAAAGAUUGAUUAGAGAUCGAAGGUUGGAUUAUGGAAGAAGAAAACAUUUGAAAGAAUCGUAAUUUGUGAGUUUGAACGUUGAAAUUUACAGGGGAAAGUGUUUUUGUCAUACACCAAGGGCUGCUGUUAAGGAACGGAAAAAGGUCAAAAAUGUUGCUAAUUAAAAAUGAAAUGACUCAAAAAUAUAUCUCACUCAUAACUCAUACAGUUCAUUUUACUUGUUACGUAUUUUUAAAAUAGAUUUUUAUUUUACAAAUUAUGCAAAAUAGCAAAUAUUUAAAUCAUAUUAAAUAUUAUAGUUACACACCGCUAUAGUUUUGCUCAAUCUUGCUAUUAGCAUGAUUUGUAUAAUUUAUCUUAUUUGUAUAAUUCCAGAAUUUGUACACUUUGAUUUCUGAUUGUAUAAAAUUCAAAAUUAUAUAUAUAUUUACCCUAGUUGUUUUGUAUACGAUUUAUGAAAAAAUCAUAAUAAAUUACCCUAUUUAUAUAUUGGCAAGCGAAAUAUACAAAACGGAGUUUUGAAAAAUUUCUAAAUGUAUAAAUUCAGAAUUUGUAUGGACUAACCCUAUUUGUGUAUACAAACGGACGAAAAAUAUGCAACCACAACCUCCAUAGGUAACAAAUCUAUAGCUAUGGAGCGCAAUUAUCAAAACUAUAGAUAUAGAACCUCAUUGUCUAUUAUGUUUCCUAUUUCCGAAAUUUUUUGUCGAUAAUCAUUUUCUUUAUGGGUGUGUCAAGUCAAACAGUGACAAAUAAAAAAUCAGCAAAGGGAUAUUUUAUUUUACUAGAAAAGAGUGUUGGCCAAGAGCCUAAGACUAAGAACAUCUUUUCAAAAUGAAGAUCAGUUCCAUCUCCACUACAGCGUACCACCUUCAUUCAAUAUUGAAAUUAGAAUUAAAAGGUCAAAUACACACUUGAAGGCGUUACUGCUAUUCUUGUUUCCUAUGGAUGAUGACACAGCUCGACGUGUGACCUCCUUAUCACAUGACAACAACUUUACUAGUUAAGCCGAGGAAGCUCCCUCGGCACGUGAGUUUUAACUACACUCUAAAUAAGUUGGCCACAAGAAAAGAGAGGUUACCAGCUUUGUUGUUACUAUUAGCAGCACUUGCUGACAAAUUGUGAAUUAACUGCCUGCAAAUAGAAUUGUAAAAGGAAUACAACAAAGAGACUAGCAAAAUGUUCUGUCUUGACAUUAAUAAAUACAUGCAAAGCUAAAACUAAUACAAUCCAAGAAGGUAAACAAUGACAAUUUCCCAUUUGAAGAGCCUUUGAAUAACGCAAAUUUUUCAGACAAGUAGAGGGGAGAAAGAACACAAAUCAUGGCAACUCCAGGUGUAGCAGUAUACAUCAAUCUCAUCAACCUUCUUCUCCAAACUCCUUUGUGAAUCUGUCAUGCACUUCAAGGUCGGAUUUACUAACUGUUGGCCUUUGACGAGCAAGAACCUUAUCAAAGUCUGUCUUUGUAAUGGGGGGCGGUAUGAUCUGCAAAGGCAUUAAUCAGCAAGAUGCUUAACUAGUCCUGCCCGUUAAAGAGGACAAUUUAUCCAAAGCCAAAUUAGAACUUCAUACUAAAACAUUACUAGAUGAUUCUAAUAUCAGCUACUGAGACACGGGUCUGUCGCAAAUAGCCUAUCUACCUUCAUAAGGUAGGGGUAAGGACACUAUCCUCCCCAGACCCCACUUGUGGGGAUCACACUGAGUAUAUUACUGUUUGAUUCUAAUAUUAGCUACUAAUUCUUCCUUUUUCGGGGUAAUCAAGCUAUUCAGAAUUGAGUCAUUGACACAUAGGCAGAUGUAGUUCAGUAAAGGCACAAUAUCUUCUUACAUUUUAGUUCAGACUUCAGUAUAACCAUAUGAUGUGCAAACAGUAACGUUAGAAUCACAUUUAAUUAUUGCAUUACUAGUGACUUGAAAUAAGUCAAGUUUCCAGACGUGUGCAGUUGUAGGCCCCGGCCCCAAUAUAUUCCAGCUAAAACUCAUACAAGCACAAGAUUUGGCUAAGUGACCAGAUUAAAAAUUAAUUAUGGCAGUAAUCUCGAACUAUAAAUGUAUCCCAAAUAUCUACCUGGGAUGCAAGUCCUUUAGCAUCAAGCUCCUGCAUAGUUGUCUGCACAGCACCCUGUUGCUUUGGUCCGCAUGGUAUCCAGGUACCAUUAGAAGUCUGAGUAAAGAACACAGCAUCUUGUGUCUUACGUACGGGUUCAAAUAGCACAUCCUUGACCUGUCCAAGAAGAGAAGGUAUAUAAAUAUAUUAGGAGAAUAAAGAGGAAUUGCCCCCUUUUUUCCUUCAGUGUUUAGCAAGUUCAAGUGGAUUGGUGUAGAAGAAAGGGUCUCUUCCAACUACAAACUCACAAACAACAUGUUGGGCAUAAAGUCAAAUUCAUUAGGGUCCAGACUUACACAAACAGAAACAUCUGAACCAGAAAAACCUUCUGUCUUACGGGCCAGGUCUUCAAAGUCACUCUCGCUCAAGUUAUGGGGGGUAUCACCUAAAUGAACCUGCACGUGUAACAAGCCAAUCUAAAUAACUCUAGCUCUCACAAGUCGACUUGCAGUAUAUUUCCUUUUUUUUUUUUUGGAUGACAAGGGAAACCCGCAGCCGCUACCCUUUGGGUGCGCACAGGGUAAAACCCCCGCUCCUAUGCAAUAGCUCGCAAACCACAUAGGAGAGGUAACCCGCACUAGGCAAGCCUGGUGCGACGAGCUCGACCCAGAAGGCAAAACCCCUUGCUUUCGCUGGCAAGGGGUUUCGAACUUGAGACCUCCAACAUGAAAGUUCCAAGCUCAAACCACUGGGCCACCCCGAAGGGUUGUAGUAUAUUUCCUUUUUGAACUUCACUUUCCAAGAAAAAUCACAGAACAGGAUUUACUUUGAACAUGUGUUGCCGUGCCUUCAAAUCUGGGAGCGGAAUGUAGAUACGCUUAUCAAAUCUUCGCCGUAUAGCCUGUAGAGGACAAUUUCCGUCAGCAAUAAAUUUCUAAGAUCCACAACUUUAAAGUGCAGAUCAUUCUUCACCUGAUCUAGGGCAUAGGGUGUAUUUGUUGCCGCAAGUACAAGAACUUUAUCAUCAUUGUGACCAACACCCUGAAAAAAAAAAAAAUAAGAAAAAGAAAUCUAUAGCCGGGGGGUUUCUCUUCCUCUUUUCUUUCUGAUAGGUUGAAGUUGGUUAUGACAGUUCAAGGAACCACAUAAUAGCUAUGAUAGAUCAAUUACCUGCAUCUGCACAAGGAGUUCUGUUUUAAUACGUCGAGAAGCUUCACUUUCGUUUCCUUCUCCUCGCUGCCCACACAAGGAAUCAAUUUCAUCAACGAAUAUAAUGGAGGGAGCGCUUUCACGAGCCAUUUGGAAAAGGUUUGAAACUAGCUUUUCACUUUCACCCAUCCACUUGGAUACAAGGUCUGAUGACGAGACGCUGCAUGAAAAUAGCAGUUGGCACUCGCCAACUUUACAGCGUAAGUUCUUGAAAAUGGGAAACUGAAAAAAUAGCUGACAAAGAGCAGACACAUGACGACUAUAUUCAUGCAAGCAACUCAUGUUUAUAUGCAUCCAUCAAGAUGGUUACGUGCAAGUUUAAAAGAGAAAUCAAUAGUGCAAAUGGAAGAUUUAGUACCACUGAGAACCGCAGAGAUUAGAACAUUUGCAGGUAUAGGAUCAUUCGACUAUCGAGGACACAGGCAUCUUGAAAUCUCCCACAUAAUGGCAGCAGAGAAUAUCAAAAAAUCAGGGGAAAGGCCAUUAUACAUAUUACUUUUUGCUUCUAGAAAGACAUCAACAUAUUGCAUGAUUUCACAUGCUAUCCCUUGGUUUUCACAACUCAGGAAAUGUUUGGCACCCCAAUAACCCCCACAGGAGUCCGGUGACAGGACAGAUUUUUUUGUUGUUGGCGGGGUUAGCAUAAAAGAACAACUACUACAAAGCAAAAGCUCUACAUGUUGACCUCCAUUGGAAGUCUUUGCAACAAAACAAAACUGAUGGAUCCUGAUUGUAUAAUCCUACUGAAAUUUUAUUAUUGUAAGCUUUGAAUUGUAAUUGAAAUUACUGCAAUCACAAACAAGGCCUUAGCUGAAGGUUCAAUUUGACUCUGCUCUACAUCAACAUAUUGCAUGAUGUACUGGUCUGAUCUUAAGAUUCAUGGGUUAGCAUCACUUGCGUUGGCAGUAAGUGAGAUGUGUCUAACAAACUGGAGAUAUACAAGAUGAUCUCAUCCAGAGGUUAAAAUCAGGAUAAUGCUGAGAUGCAGAACCAUAAAAUCCAAAAAAAAUUGCUCAUUGGUCAUCCCCAUAUGCUAGACCUAGACUAAAGCCUUCACAUCCUGAAUACUUCCUAAGAUGCACAUGCAAAGCCAUUGAUAUUAUCACUAAGGCUGGAUGUGUUCCUCUAUGGCACGGCUGCUCUAUAAAAUUGGUACCAAAACAAAACAUUAAACACCCUUGGAUACCAGAGUAUGUUUAUCAACCAAUUCCAACAUCACAUUCUGUCCUAGAUGUAUAGAUCUGCAAGUGAUACACCACCGAGGGGGACAACCCAGAUAUGACAUUUAUGAAGGAAAAGAACCUCAUGGAAAGAAGAUAUUCAAAAGAAUCACAAAGCCUCAACAAAAAUAAAGCUAUUAUAAAUACUACUCCCUCCGUCCCAAAAUAAGUGUCACCUUAGCAAAAAAAAUUGUCCCAACAUAAGUGUCACCUUAGGAAUUCAAGACAAAAUUAGUAUGUUUUUUCAACUAUAUCCUUAUACUCCAUCUUCUUAGUAGUGUUCAGUUUUCAGGAGAUAUUUAUUAAAUAAAGUAGUUUAGUAAACUACACAUUAUUUUUAUUGAUUUCUUAAUGGAUGUGAUUUUUGCCAAGGUGACACUUAUUUUGGGAUGGAGGAAGUAUAAUUAAUAAGCAAUCACCUCCCACAACAAAUAACGAGCAACACCCAUGAAACUACAAAGCCCUUAACUCAUGGAUCAUGACCAAGAUGUUAAAUUAGCAGGAGUUAAUUACGAUUUAAACAAAACAAAACAUUCUGGACAUAUUGAGUAUAUAAAGAGGCUUACAUCAGCCAACUCAAAAGGCACAAGAACCAUCCCACACUCCAAAAAGGAAAACACAGGCAAUGUAAAAAUUUCCUAGUUGACUUGGAUAUUGAACCACAUUCUGUAUUUAGUGAUUGAGCCCUUUAUGUUCCUUACUACUUCUGAUUCUUUGAUUAAGGAGCCAGAUUACAUAAAAACAUCAUCUAUAAAAAGAAGAAAAUCAACACAAAUUAUGAGAAAGAUAGGUCAUAAAAACUAUACAGAUAACAAAUUAUGGAAAGGAAGGCCAAAAGAUAAACUAUACAGAAAAUAAAAUAAAGAACCUAACAACCAUAUGGCCAAAAUCGGUUGCAUCUUCUCCCCAGACUUCUUUUUAGCAUUGAUAUUCUAUAAUUUUCCUUUAUAAUCUUUAGGGCUGCUAAGAAGAUUCUCAUUUUGCUCAAGAUCUUUUUCGUUUACUAAUGACAGGUGAUAUAAUGUACCAAAUUUGCAAUUUAAAUACAGCCUUUGUUUUUUUCCAAAAUAAAAGCGGCAGUGAAUCAGGAAAGAUCUGAAGUUGAUAGCUCCAUUUUGCAGUAAAAUGGACACAUUAUAAACAAACACAAUUGCAAGUAGGAGGACAAAUACCUAAAAAAGGUGGAUUCUGCUUCAGUAGCAACAGCUUUGGCCAAGUAAGACUUCCCUGUCCCAGGAGGACCAUAAAGAAGAAAAGCUCUCCAUGGUCGUCUCUUGCCUGUAGGUACAUGAGAAAGGAGAAAAAAGCACUCAAAUUGGUGUGAACAAAAGCACCCAAAAAAUUACUCAAGUUAUGUGAUGCACACAUGGAUAAACUAUUCAACCAUCUCUAAUGUACCACGAAGAGAAAAAGAACAUAAUAUUCACAUGUUUUUUGCCUUAAUGAUUUUUAUCCCACUACAACUCUUUUGGUUGAGCUAGGAGGAGUUGUAACAUGAAUCGUGGGCCAACUAUAAAGAGAAAUUCGAAAUUGUGGGAUUUACUCGGAGAUCACCUCUCGUACCAAUGCAAUUAACCAAUCAGUCUCCCAAAUAUAUAAGACAAUUUGCUCACAACCACGCAGUCACAGGCAAAGAAUACCCACUUUCUUUGCCAAACUUCACAUUUCAAAACGCACACAGACAAAUGCUUAAAAGUUGUAAGGCAUUUCGAAUGUAGAGAAAAUAACUCAUCCACAACAUCACUAAUACUCUAAGAACUCCUACACAUGCUCAACAGAAAGCAUUUUCAUUUUCUACUCAUAUUCAGUUAUCCACAGACUAACCUGGCACUUAGUGUUCCCCAAAUUGAAACGGUUUAAAACAUUCAAUAGGUAAAGACUCAAACUUACUUCUUUCUAUAAGUUAAAAACUAUAACUAUUGGAACCCAUGUAACCCUGACAUAAGUGAAAAUCUUUCUAACUAGGAGUCGAAAGUGUUUGGUUUGCAACAUAAAACUCUGUGUAUAACUGCCUGUAGUUCCCACUUCCCACUUCCCACUGCAUAAUAAGCACUAUAAUCCCUUUAACAACACCUAACAUCUUAUUGACUUAUUUCUACUUCCUUUACCCAAAAGAAAUAAGGCAUAAUACAUAAACAAUACACUCAAACUUGAUCUCACCUAGCAAGUAAGCACUCCAACUUUGAGAGUGCACACCAAGACACCUCGGCUGACUUAGGAGAUGUCUAGAUGAUCAUUUUGUAAGUUGGAGUGUUUAACGGACAUAGUGGAGACGAGUUGAAGUGUCUAGAUGUGCAUAUGCAAGGUUGGAGAGCUUACUAGCUAGCUAAGACCAAGUUUGAGCUUCUGUUUAUGUAUUAUGCCAAAAAACAAUUGUGUUUAAGCUACUUCAUAAUCACAAAGCAAACCAUCAAUUAAAGCAACAAUCUUUACUAGCAAAACACCACAAUAACACAAAAACAAUCCAACAAAAGCAUACACACACCUGUGAAGAACUGAGGGAAUUUCACAGGCAAAAUGACAGCUUCCUGCAACGCCUGUUUGGCACUCUCCAAUCCAGCAACAUCAUUCCACUUCACAUUAGGUUUCUCUCUAACAAUUGCUGAAUUAAGCCCAGCCCUAAGUUUAGACUGCUCAGGAUCCUCCCCAUCUUCACCAUCCUUGGGCUUAGUCUUAGGCUUAGCCAUCACAGCUGCAUCUCCUCCAUUUGGACCAGGCCCACUCCCACCCUCAUCCAACACAGCCCGAAUCUCCUCCGCCCGGCGUAAAUACUCUGUAAAUUUCUGGGUAAUUGCCUCCUUAAUCUUAGGAUUCUUCUCGUACUUCAAAUGGGUCUUAAAGUACUCCAAUGCAUUCAUAUACAACGGAAAUGCCUUGGCAUAGUUUCCACCAUUGUCCUCUUGCACUGCUUGCCUUACAAACUCAAUUGCUUGCUCCUUAAAAUUGCUAUACAUCUUCAAUCCUAUAGAAAAAAAAAACAAGAAAAUUUCUGGGUUCUGAUCAGAACUCAAAAGGGUGUCCGAAAAAUCACACAAUUAACCAAACAAAUUUAUGGGUUUUGAUCAGAACUCAAAAGGGUGUUCCGAAAAACCACAAAACUAGCCAAUAAACUUUCUGGGUUUUGCUCAGAACUCAAAAGAGUGUUCAGAAAAAAAGCUGAUUUUAGAAAAAAUCGUAUGAACAGUGUCCUAAGUAAUGGAUCUUUCUGAAGCUUUUGAGCAUUUUUUUUGGUGGAUUAGGUGAGUUUGACAGUAGAUAUGAACCCUAGAAAUUGGGGAUUUUUGGUUAAUUCAAUGAAAAAUUGAUUAGAGAUCGAAGGUAAUAAGGAGAUCGGAAAACAUUUGAAAGAAUCGAAAUUUGAGAAUUUGAAAGUUGAAUUUACAAGGAGAAAUGGAUUUCAAGUUUGAAAGAAUCCAAUUUACAGGAGAAAUGUUGUCAUACGCGCGUGAGCUACACGUAGGGCUGCCUAUUAAGGAAACAUAUGUUCUUUUAUCAUGGAGUUUGAAACUGAUGGAAUGUAACAAAUUUCAUUCGUACCUCGUAAAAGUAUAGAUAGAGAGUAUAGAUAGAUUGUUUUUUAUGCAUCCUUGACUUAAAACAGAAUCAUUUACAAAUUGAUUGGAAAAAGGAGUACAAAAAUGAGAACGAUAACAAGGAUGAAAUAAUAUGAAAUGAAGAGAAGCACAGUACCAAAAAACGUACGAGUAAUGACAACAAACGGAAAAAAAAAAAAUAACAACAAAAUAGUGACAUAGUUAAAACACGGAUGUUUGGACCAACUUAAGUGUACAACAUAUUGAAAAAAUGCACAAAUAUCUGAUCUUGAGAUUACGAUGUAUACCAUACAUAGGUUGCUCUCAUUGUUAAAUGAGCUUUAAGAAUUAUAGUCCAACCUCAAUUGGGCAAAGUGCAUCAGUCUCAUUCUUAAAUGAGCUUCAAACCUAAAUUGGGCAAGGUACAAGCCUAACUCAUAUUGACCCGAAAAAACCUAAUUGACCCUAACAAAUCUUACCCUAACCCAUAGUGACUGGCCAAACAAGACCGGUAGAACAAGCCUAACCCUAACCCAAGCAAACAAGCAUGGCCAAACAGGCCUAACCCUAGCCAUAUUGAUCGAUCGAACAAGCCUUACCCUGACCUAUAUUGACUGGUCGAACAAGCCUACAUUGAUCGGCCAAACAUGCCUAACCUAGCCCAUAUUGACCAACUAACAAGCCUAACACUAACCUAUAUUGAUUGACCGAACAAGCCUACAUAUUGACCGGCAAGUCUAACCCUGACCGAUAUUAACCGACCAAACAAGCCUAAUAUGUGCCUACGUAUUGAUCGGGCCCAACCCUAACCCAUAUUAACCGGCAAACAAGGCCAACCCUAACCCAUAUUAGCCGACUAACCCUAACCCAUAUUAACCGGCCGAACAAGCCUACAUUGACCGGCCGAAAAGCCUAACCCUAACCAUGGCCGAACAAAGCCUGACCUAUAUUGAUAGCUCAUGUGAUGAAUAGUUUUAACUUUGUCAAUGAUGGAUCAAAAAAGAAGAUGCCUCACUGGUCUCAUUCUCUGAUGGACUUCAAAAAUAGUAGUCCAACCUUGAAUUGGGCUAGCUAAGCUAAACUAGGCCGACCUAACCCAUACUAACAGUUCAUGCAUAGUUUUAACUUUCUAAUUGGUGGAUCAAACCAGAAAAACAUAAUAAUCAUAAGAACACAUGGACUAAGAAAAAAAAAGAUGUAGAACAUAACACUUCAUCCACAUAGCAUAUACUAUAGCACUUAGUUGCAAUAUAUACACAAUUGUGCCCAACCAUCUAACCAGGAUCAAGAACCAAACAUCCACAACUACAAAAACAAACUUCAUAAUGAUUUAUUUAACAUUUAACAAACACAAGUUCCCACAUCCUAUGCCCCAAAAAGUACUACAAAAUCCCAUAACAAAGUCUUGAUUAGAGAAAAGGCAAAAUGUCCAUGUACAGCCCUUCUCUGGUCUUCCUUCACUUUCUUCCCAUAAUGUUGGUUAUCCCUCGGGCUGCUCAACUGCUUCAUACUCCACGUCUUGCUCCUCGUAUUUCACCGCCACCAAGAACCUUAUGCUUACCUAUGAGAUAAAACGAAAGAUCAUAUAUAUUUAACUUUCAAACUUCAAUUUAGACCAUCUUCUCUUCUUAUUAUAUAAGUACCUGUUGUGGAUCAUAUACAGCAUAUUCAUUGUACUCGAGAGGGCUUUCCUUGUGCUCUGAUGGAAUCAACUUGCCACAAGGGACUUUAAUGUCGUCCUUCCACACAAAAUGCUCUGACUCGUCUGUUUUCUUCUUGCCAAGCCCUUUAGCUCCAAUCCCCUUCUCCUCCAGAGAUAUAGUGUCCUGCAUUUGGUGCAAAAUUUGAUGUUAGCUCUAUACCCCACACCAACUUGCUCCAGUCCCGAGUUCGUCCAGAGUCUUAGAGGAGUAGAGUUAGCAAGUUUAGGCGUUCCAGCCCCGAGUCAAUCCAGAGUCCUAAGGAGUAGCUAGCAAGUUUAGGCAUCAGCCUAAUUCCGCAGGCCAACUUGCUCCAGCCCCGAGUCAAUCCGGAGUCUUAUAGAAAUAGCUAGCAAGUUUAGGGACCCAGCAUGUGAGCAAGUUACUUUGGCGCAUAUGAGUAGCUAUCACGAAUCACAAGUUCAAGCCAAAAGAGAGAUACGGAGAUGAGAAAAUUGUUGAGUAAGAACCUAAGACCAGACAAAAGAGAGACACGGACACAAGAAGAAGACUUGGCCAAGAGCCUAAGAAACGGGAUGAUAGGGACGGGCAGCCGACUAUCGGUAUACUAACUGCCUACUCUACUAGUUUGACACAAGAAAAGAGUUGGCCAAGAGCCUAAGACACUGGAUGAUAGGGGGGACAGCCAGCCUCGACUAUCGGCGUUCAAUACUAAGUAAGAUCCUCAUUGACAAGUAAGAGAAAAUCAAUUAGCAUCAUUUUCUAUUGUACCUCAGGUGGACUUGAGAACUCUUGGAUUUCUUCUCCUAGCGAGGCAACAGCCAAAACCAAGAAACCUUCUGGCCUAUCUACAGCUGUGAAUCCAUAUCUGGCUGCUUCUGCUGCAGCGUCCGAACAAACGAUAGCUCUUCCAAACUGCAAAAAACAAAAUAUAAACCCCAAAGAAGGUAUUCCCUACCCGAAAAGGAAAACAGACUACAGAAAAUAACAGACAUCAUUUCUACAAAAACAAAUGUUACAUGCCCGCACAUACCAUGUAUCCUGGUACAGGAAGUGAACAAGUUGAGGGCAAGAACCCCAUCUGCAAGUGCCUCAAUAGAUUUGAACUCCUAGUCCCUGUUAGCAAAGAGCAAGUAAUGUACGUAUUGUUAUUUUAAGGUCGUUAAUCCGUUCACUCGUCUCUAUAAUAAGACGAAAUCUUGAUCUAAGAGUUACUUACCACACCAUAGCAGAACCUUGUUGGGCAAUUUCCUGAUGUCAUCAAGAGAGGGGCAUGCACUUGCUUCAACAGCAAAGAUAUUCUCAACCGAUACACCAUAGCUCUGAAGAAAACAGAUAACCUCACUUCAGAUCAAAGCUUCACUUAUUUUGUCAUAAAUCGAUAUCCAAAAUGAACUUCAGACUUUAGGAGAUCGAGUGAAACGAAAUUAUCUUACGACAUCACCGAUUCUCACUGGAUCAUAAGUUUUGUCCAGGUACUUCACUAUCAUUUUGUAAUCAUCUUCCUCUUUCUCAAGGGGUGAAACAGAACAGUUUAGCUUCACAUAACGCUCAAAAAGAGGAUCAUCCAACGUUGAGCCUGACAUAUCUCCUAUAAGACGGGAGGCGGUAUUGAUAUCUCGAAUAGCCUCAUAAGAAGAAGCACCCUAAAUUUUCACAACACGAGAAACACAUCAAUAAAUUAUCAUCUGACAAGUCUAUAAGAGAGGAACUCAAACCCGCAAACGAAAAAUGAACUGUUCACUGAUAUGCAAUUUACUUGGUCCGCAAGUUCUUCAUAGUCUUUAAAGGGAAAGGGCCUUGUAGUCGGUAUGAGAGUGAACCAUCUCUGGGUGAAAUCAGCCCAAAAGGCGUCUGCUUUGUUCCCCGUCACCGUUGAAGAUUUCAGUUUCUCCACAAAUUCUUUGAGGGUUUCCUCACCUGUGUGGUUACAAAGUUACUUAAAAUGUUAAUAGCAAUCGCCAACGGAGAAUGCACAAAGACGAGAAAGACUAACAUCUUCUCAAAUGAAGAUCAGUAACCAUCCCGAUAGGAAUCUCAGGUGAGUCAUAUCCCAUCUCCACUAGAGCAUACCUUCAUUCAACAGAUAAGGUAAGAGUCGCGUACACAUGUAAACAAACAACAAAAGAGUAAUCUUAAAGGACAUUACCGGUAAAUCUCCUGGCUACAGAGGACUUUCAUUAAAUUUGCUACCUUCGGAUCAAGCUUACUAUGUGCAGCAGCAACCCCGAGUUGCCUAAGGCCUAGUCCACCAUACCUUACUUCAACGCCAUCAUCCUACAAUUCACCACAUCGUUAUCUUUAAACUGAAUUAUCGAAACACCAAAUAUACUUGAUUCCAGGAAGUUAAGAGAGCACAUACUAUAUCAAUAGGGAAGAACUUCAUAUUUUUCUUAUGAAUCUUCUUCUCUCUUUCCCAGAGUUCGAACUGACCUCCCGUCAGUUCUUCAAAGAGCUUUGCGAAUUCUCUAAUAGCAUCGUUCACAUUUUCCCAUUCCUCCAGCUUGUCAUCUGCUCUGGGGCUGUCACCAAUUUUUCCCUUUCUGUAAUAAAGGUACAAGCGGUUCUCUCGUGCCACAAUAAGUUGCAUAAUGCAGAAGCUACACCAUUUUAAACAUUUCUAUUAGUUACUACCUUGAAAUUAUAAAAGAAAAUAUUAGUUCUUGAUCCGUACUCGUUCAGGUUCCUCCCUUGAUCACAAACAGUGAGAGCACAAUUGUACAAUAUGCCAUCUUUCUCUAAUAUUUUUCCACCUUCAUUCUGCAGCUUACUGUCAAUAUGCACACCUCUCUUUCCAAACACUUUUAGCUACAACCAUGUCAAACCAAUUUUGGCAAAUGAGUACAGUUUCUAUCUAAAAAAUCGAAAAAGGAAACCAAUCACUAUUGAACUCAAAAGCUUGAAAUAGUACCUCAGCUGUUAAGGUUUCAAGUGCUACGACACUGGAAUCUUGCUGAUCUAGUGCAAGACCUUUCCCUUCUACCGCAAUAUCACUUGCAAUAUCGUAUGCAUCUAACGUUUCAGCUUGUUUUUCCUUGAUGCUAUCGGUCAGCCAAGCCUCCCUCACUACUGGGAUACCCCUCUCCCUGAGGAACGUACAGCACCUAGCUGUAAGAUAUUAUCGCCAAAACUAAUCGAAUUCAUGCAAAAAAAUCUUUACAUGUACAUACACUGCUUCAGCUACUUUAGACGAGCCACCACGAUCUCGCUCUGAGGGAGAAACCACAAGGCACGUUGCCCCUGCCAUAACGAAGCCAUUUUAGUUUUUAAGGUUACGAUUGAAGGCAUUGCAUCAAAUUAACAUAAGAUUUGGAUCAUUACCAAUAACAGAAUUAGCCACUUUCCCUCCAUUUUUCUCGAUCUUUUUCUUCCAAUAUUGCUAUAGAGAAGAAGUCUUCAUGUCAUACCAAAACAAUGAUCCAACGCACUUUAAUAACAUAAAUAUAUGGAAAUAAUGUAUAUACACAUACAUGGGUUCGAGAAAGACGGCCUGCAAGAGCAAUCAUCAUUCCUACAAAUGGUUUAUCUGCUACAGCUAUUUCCCGCCUGGGGCGACUUUUCGGGUCUCUAUGUUUCUCAAUCAGCUAUCAUAUUAACAUGAACAAACAAUCGAUUUAGAUCGUCGUACCCGUAUUAUACAGCUAGUUAUGAAUGUAAAGAAGUGUUUGGCACAUUACAUCGUAGACGGGAGUUUUUCCAAUAGAUUCAGGGAUAUUUGUAGGCUCUUCUCUUCUUGGUGGAGACCUAGUGCUGUAAACACAACUGGACCACUCACUAUAUGCUCCCUGGCAAUGAUAGCCGUCGCCAGAAAACUCUAACGUGCCACCACAAACUGGACAAUCGCCGACAGGACCAUAGAAUAGUAUGUCUUGGCUAACAAGCAUAGUUCAGUAAGUUCACUUCAUAUAACAUUCUCUAACAAGCAUAGUUCAGUAACAAAACAUAUCAUAAACUGAACUGUUGCAACACUUAAAAUCUUUUUAUAAGAACGUGUAAAUCGAAAUCCUAUUAAUAGGUAUCCAAAAAUAUAAAUUUGUAUCCAAUUCGAACUCGUCAUGAUUUGACGACGUGAAAAUCAUUUAUGUGACUAUAGAUAUCUCAAACAAAAUGAAAGUUCAAAGCUAAAUUGUUUCCGAGUAAGGAAGUCUGACUUCCUAGAACAAACUAAAAAGGAAAGCGUAUGACAUAAAUUUAGCUUACGACCAAACAUUUGUGUCUAUAUAGCAAGUAUCUCGACGGAUCAAAAUGAAAAAUUCAAAGUUGAAUAGUUUCUAAGUCAACUUUUUUAGAACAGAUCCUAAAAUUGAAAACACACUAGUUAGAGAAAGUAACAUCGUAAAACGAAGCUAAAACUAUGUUAAUAGUGUAAAAGAUUCAACCAAAAUUAUGGUAACUAGCCUACUAAGCGCAAAAUCUUACACACCAAGAGUGCGUAACUUAAACAAACAAACAAUAACAACAUACCUCGUGAAAUCCCCCAAUCCCACGGGUGAAGUCCGAGGUCGAAAGAGGAUAGAGUUAAACUAAACUACACAACAUAUGAAGUAAAAUCUCAUAGAUGGGAUUUGAAGUGGAUAGAGUGUACACAAACCUUAAAGUUGGCUAUUACGUCAUGAUAUAAUGUCUAUCAGUAGCAUUCUAUCUCUAUUCCCGCCUCCUGACUUAACGAACCUUACCCCUACCUCAUGGAGGUAGAGAGGCUGUUUCCAAAAGAUCUCUCAACUCAAACACUUAAAAACACUACAAAAGAAGCAUAACAAUUAAGAAAGAUAAAUGUGACAAACCAUCUAGGUACAACAGCCUCAUCAGCUAUUGAAGCAUCCCGGGCAUUGGCUUCGAGAAUUUCGCGCAUUUGUUUGAUGGAGAGAUGUUCUCUUGUCUCUCUACAAAACUUCUCAAAUUCAGCUGCCACAUCCGCAACACUCGAUCGCCCAUUAACCUUAUCAUUAUCCUCGCCUUCAUUGGCGAUUUUCGACUUCUUUGGCGCCGCCUCAGCCUUGUGCUUUCUUGUAGUAACUUUCUUCUCCUCAUCACUUGCAUGAGAGUGAGACCUUUUCUCAUGAACCUUCAAAAAAAAAAAUAACAAUACCAUAUUUAGUCCGUUUCAAUUUGUUUUUUUUAACCAAAAAACAAUAAUCAUAAUUAGUGUGUUUCAAUUUGUUUGUCUUAACAAAAACACUACAACCAUAUUUAGUCCGUUUCAAAUUGUUUGUCUUAACAAAAAAACAAUAACCAAAUUUAGUCCGUUUCAAUUUGUUUUUCUUAACGAAAAUCAAUAACCAUAUUUAGUCCGUUUUCAAUUUAUUUGACUUGACAAAAAAACAAUAACCAUAUUUAGUCCAUUUCAAUUUGUUUGUCUUAACAAAAACAAUAACCAUAACUAGUCUGUUUCAAUUUGUUUGUCUUGACAAAAAAAACAACAACCAUAUUUAGUCCAUUUCAAUUUGUUUGUCAUAACAAAAAACAAUAAUCAUAAUUAGUAUGUUUCAAUUUGUUUGUCUUAACAAAAAACAACCACCAUAUUUAAUUUGUUUCAAUUUGUUUGUCUUAACAGAAAACAAUAUUCAUAUUUUGUCUUGUCUCAAUUUAUUUGUCUUAACAAGAAACAAUAAUCAUAAUUAGUCUGUUUCAAUUUAUUUGUCUUAACAAAAAACAACCACCAUUACAUAUUUAAUCUGUUUCGAUUUGUCUGUCUUAACAAAAAACAAUAAUCAUAUUAGUUCGUUUCAAUUUAUUUGUCUUAUUGACUUUUUUUUUUUUAAAUGUGCCUGUUUCAACUAUCAUGUCACACCUUUUGCAGUAUGGCGGGUACUUAUCUUAUUAUCAAAAUUAGAUAUCUUGCAACAUUUAUCUAGGCUUUCAAAAGAAUUUAGUAGGAUCAUUUUGUUGGUGUAUAGAACUUAAACUCGAUCUUAAGCUUAUCUUUAGUGAAAGACUUCCUAUAUUACCUCAAGAUACAAAAAUUGAGGAACGUGUAUCACAUCUAGUCAAAUUAAGACACAUAAAAUGAAAUUAUAAGCACAUGUCAUCAUUUCUAAGAGAUUUCUUCCUAUAUUUGGUUGGUGGUAGUAGUGGUCAAUAAUAGUUACUCGCUCUGUUUUAAUUUGUUUGACUUAAAAUUAAACUUAUUUUUCCUGUCUUAUUGUCUUAUCAGUUAAAAGUCAUAAGUUGAAAACACAAACCAUUAACUUUUUGAGUUUUUGGUACUCUUACAGCCUUAAAAAAGUGUUUAAAAACACUUUCACAGUUAUUCAAAAGCUCUCAAAACUAAAAAUAGUUUAAAAGUAAAAAACACUAAAAAUAAGUCAAUCUUUUUUUGUCUUUUUCUUGGAUAAGACAAAAGUACUCCUAAACUAUAUGACCAAAAUCCAAAGAUACACCUUUAAUAAACUAAGAUCCUAGUAUUCGAAUUUAUUUUUUUGUAAUUUUGUACACCUUUGAUUUACGUGGCACUCUGUGGAAUGUUUGGACGCCACGUAAGCUAAAAAGAGAUACAAAUUACAAAAAAAAAAAAUUCGGGUAAUAGAAUAUUAACUUAGUUGAGGGGUGUGUCAGGAAUUUCGAUCAUAGUCUAGUACUUGUGCCUUAAUCAUUUUUUUAAGCAAUAAAAUUAAUUUCAAACUUUCCAAAUAGUAUAGUUAAGAACAAAAAUUAGAGAUAUUUAAUACAUUUAAAAUAUUUUUAGUUUUAAUUUGUCACAAGACUCAAAUAUCUUCCAAGUCAAAUCAAAAUAAGUCAAGAUAUAUAAAUUAAUUAAAACAAAGGGAGAAACUAUUUUCACUAAGUAAAAACUAGGCAUGCAUAUAAUACACAAAAAUUAUACAUUUUAGAGAUGUUUUGUUAACAUAUUGAAAAAUUAAAUUAAAUUAUAAAAGUUAUAAAGAACUAGAACAAACCUUCAUUUUCAAGAUUUUGUCACUUGUCUCUACUUUUGAAAAAUUCUUCAAAUUAUCAAAGAAACCAAACUUGCAAAAGACAUAAAGAAAACAAAAAAAUAUAAGAGAAUUUGCCUCUUUUUAUUUAUAUUUACAUACAGACACGUGACGUGUAAUUUAUUGUGGGUAUCGAAGUUUAUCUGUCUCACAAUGGAGCUAACAGGUGUACUAGUGCAACCUCCUUGCUUGACACAUGUCUUCACCUCCGCUCGUUCAAUUUAUUUGUCUGAUUUUAACUUUAUUCAAAAUAUUUAAGAAAGUCUAGAAGAUAAUUUUAUAGUCUUAAACUAAAGAUAUGUAAAGCAUACUAAAAUAUUAUUGUUCCAAUUAUGAUAUAUAUGUGAAAAGUUAGAACUAAAAAAAAACGUUUUUUUUUUAAACAAACUAAAAAGAUGUGAGAUAACUAAAUUAAAAUUAUAAAAAAAAAAAAGUUUAAAAUUUAAUUUAAUUUUUUUAUAAGAUACAUGUGAAGUUAUCAUCUCUUACCAAUAAUAUAUAUUUAAUUAUUUUGUCCGCCAAAAUUAAAAUAUAUAGAAAGAUUAUCUGAUAUUUUUAUUUUUGCUGGAACAAAAUAGUUUCUUACUUCUUUUAUUUUAAUUGUACUGACCUACAAAUUUGAAGAAAUAUUGCAAUUAUAGGUACUGUGGUCUACUUCAUUCCAUAUAAUUUUGUAUGAAAUUUGAAAUUCAUAAUUGAAAAUAAAUUAUAAAUAUUUAUAUGUAUAUAAAUUAUAUUCUGAAAAAAUUGAAUAAGAAUUAUGAUAAAAUAAUUAUUUUAUUUUAUUUUUAAAAUAUAAAUCUUGAAUAUGAAUUAUAGAGUUAGGUUAAUUAUGAUGGGAUCUCGAAUUUAAUGAGGUUCCAUCUUAAUAUAAAAAUCAAAUAUCGAAUUAAAAACUUCCAAAAUGAGAAAGCGGAGAAUUUUAAUGCUUAGUUUCUUUUUUCUAGAUACCAAAAUUAUCAUUACUAAGCUAAGGUAAUCUUAUAAAUAUAUACUCAGUUUUCACUUAUUUAAACUCUUAUGGGUUAACUUUUAUUUAUAACCAAUAUUAAUUACUUUCAACAACACUUACAAAUUAAUUUCAUUUAAAUUUAUUUUACACACAUUUACCUCUCAAAUCUCAAUAUAUACUAUAUUGCUAUCAAUUUUUUCAUUCUUAAUCAGAAUUGAAUUUUAUUUAAAGUUAAAAUAAAAAAUUUCUGACAUGAAUAAAAAUGAAUUGAGUCUUAAAAUAAAUAUCAAACAUAAGUAUUUUUUUAAAAAAUAAAUAAAGAAAAACAUGUUAUAUGAUUACGUAUAGAGAAUUUUGGCACUUGACAAUUUUUGAAGUCACUAUGUCAUACUCCAAGUUUUGAGGUAUUAUGUCAUUCAUGGUCUCUUCAUCGCUUGCCAAAAGUCCACAAUUUAAGUAUGUCACAUAUGGUUUGUUUUGAUUGAACAUGGUCUAGAGGAAAUUAAUGAUCGAAAUUUAAAAGAUUAAGAGAAAAAAAUAUAUAAAAAAAUCAAGAAAUUGUCUAAAUUUUUUUAUUUUUUUUUAACAAGUGAAUAGAUUGAGGAGCUUAGAUCUCUGAAGAAUCCGAUCGUCAUGAAGAACUCCUCUGCUCGUCAGUCUGAAACUUGUCAGUUUGUAAAAUUUUAUUUCUCUUCCGAUUUCUUGUGGACUUCUUUCUUUAAUAAUUUUUAUUUCCCUUUGUUAAAUUCUUCUUAUCUUUUGUUUACUUGCUUUCGGUCAUCCUCUUUCUUUUAGCCCUGUCACGAUACAAACAUCUGUACAAUUAUUUUUAGAAAAGAAAUAAAAUUAAACUUAAUAGAAAUUUGAAAUUACGGAGAUCACUCGAAUUAUACUUAGUAUAGUACUCAUUCUAUAUAAGAAGGUAGGGAGAAAGAAACAUGAUCUUUAAGUAUUCAUUUACACUUAAUGAGAUAAUUUACUAUCCUACAAAUAUAUAAAAAUAAUGUAGCUUAAAUAAUUUUAAAUUUAUUUAAUUGACACAAUUUAUAAAAUAAAUUCAUGAAUAAAUAUUACGUAUGUGCAAAACAUUUAUUUGGCCACUAGUACCUAUACAUGCAAAGAUAGUACUAAUAAUUUUGAAUUGUCGAUUACUUGCUUUUAGUAUAGUAUUUUUAAAAUAUGUGAAAUCUUUAACUUUAUAGGAUAAUAUUAUUAUUUAUAAGAGUUAGUCAUUUAUAAAUACUUCUAGUGAAUAAGAUUUGUAAUGCGUUACUUUGGAUGUUAUUGUAAAAAAAUUUAUUUAUUAAUAUGAAGUUUGAGUUGUUCAAUUUAAAGUUUUAAUUUUUUAUAAUAAAUAAACAAUAUUUUAUAUAAAUUUUGUACUAUUUUUUUUUUACAAUCUUCACUAUUAAUGUAAACAAAAUUAAAACCAUAAAAUUGCUUAAUUUUUUUAGGUUUAAAAUUUUGAACAGUUAAAGCAAAUGGUUUACUAAUUAACUCUUGAGUCACCCUUAUUGAUAUUAAGCAAUGUUUUACUCAAGAGGAGAUUCCAUGUCAAUUCAUCCCUCACUAAGACAAAUAAAAAUGGGUUCAGAGCUAAUCUCUGUACAAACCCAUCAUAGCUAGUAAUUGCUCUAAAUGUCCUCUCCGCUCGCACUGUUUGUAUCCGAGUCUUGGCUCUAUUUUACAUGUCCUUAAUCACCCUUGCUUAUGUCACAUGGACACCUCUAGCUUCCAAGCAUUUCCAAAAUACAUAGUUUGAGACGUUGUCGUAAGUAUUUUUUAGGCCGACGAACGUCAUGUGUAAGUCCUUCUUCCUCUUUCUGUAUCGCUUCUCCAAUGUCACGCCCCGAGCCUACACCCUGGACGUGGCCGGCACUCGAAGACCAUUGAUGGCCCCAAGCGAACCCUUGGCCUGGCUUUCUUAACUCAGCGGAAACCUAACUCAACAGAAUAACUCCAUGCAAUGCAAGGACAUAAAAUAACUUAACUGAUAAACCUGGCCUAAAAGGCAACUCGAGUCCCAAAAUAGAAUAUUUACAUAUAUACAUAGAUGAGAGACUCAAAACUAACUAACUGACUGACUGUCUAUGAAGCCUCUAUAACACUGAGAUGGAUGUUGGGACAGACCCCACAACAUCUUAAUAAAACAAAACUAGGGACACAAAAUCACAUAGUCCUCCGGAAGGCAAUGAGGCUCACCAUUGACUUUGGAGUGCUCAGCUGGAUCAACGGCGGGCAGGAUGCUAAUUCGGGGUACCUGUGUCUGCAUCGUCAUAAGAUGCAGGCCAACUGGCAUCAGUACAUUAAAUGUACGAGUAUGCGAGAUGGAAAGCUAAACAACAACUUAAGCUUGAAAGGAGUACAAGAGAACACUUACCUUGGCUCUGCUCGACUCAUGAAUAACCGAACUCAAUAUAAAGCAAUAAGACACAUGCGAUAUAUAUAUAAACUGUAAAACAAUGUAAACAACUUAGCUCAUUAAUGAUAAAACAAUAACAAACUUAACUUUACUUAUAUAAANNNNNNNNNNNNNNNNNNNNNNNNNNNNNNNNNNNNNNNNNNNNNNNNNNNNNNNNNNNNNNNNNNNNNNNNNNNNNNNNNNNNNNNNNNNNNNNNNNNNNNNNNNNNNNNNNNNNNNNNNNNNNNNNNNNNNNNNNNNNNNNNNNNNNNNNNNNNNNNNNNNNNNNNNNNNNNNNNNNNNNNNNNNNNNNNNNNNNNNNNNNNNNNNNNNNNNNNNNNNNNNNNNNNNNNNNNNNNNNNNNNNNNNNNNNNNNNNNNNNNNNNNNNNNNNNNNNNNNNNNNNNNNNNNNNNNNNNNNNNNNNNNNNNNNNNNNNNNNNNNNNNNNNNNNNNNNNNNNNNNNNNNNNNNNNNNNNNNNNNNNNNNNNNNNNNNNNNNNNNNNNNNNNNNNNNNNNNNNNNNNNNNNNNNNNNNNNNNNNNNNNNNNNNNNNNNNNNNNNNNNNNNNNNNNNNNNNNNNNNNNNNNNNNNNNNNNNNNNNNNNNNNNNNNNNNNNNNNNNNNNNNNNNNNNNNNNNNNNNNNNNNNNNNNNNNNNNNNNNNNNNNNNNNNNNNNNNNNNNNNNNNNNNNNNNNNNNNNNNNNNNNNNNNNNNNNNNNNNNNNNNNNNNNNNNNNNNNUCUGCUAGGCGCGCCGCCCCAAGGGCUGGGCUUCAGAGCCCCUUUUGGGGCGCGCUGGCUGGCGCGACGCCCCAACCUCUUUUUCCCGAAAACUCGACUUUUCUCCUUAGUUUCUCCAACUCUAAACCUUCUAAACUUCAAAGUUUUCAGCCCCAAACACUUAGAAUCAUAAAUCCCCAUACUAUACAAUAGAUUCAACUCGGAAUUUCAACCGGAAACAUGAACCAAGACAACAAGAAACUUCAACAACACAACCAACAACUUCAACAAACACAANNNNNNNNNNNNNNNNNNNNNNNNNNNNNNNNNNNNNNNNNNNNNNNNNACUCGAAAUCACAACCGGAAACAUGCCCCAAAAUCAACAAGAACUUUAACACAAUCACAACCAAUAACUUCAACAAACACAACCAACAACUUCAACAAACACAAUCAACAACUUCUCGAAAUUAAACAAGUUUGGCGUGUGGGGGAAAGAACCAACCCAACACUAUGAACUCACAUACCUAGUAGGAAUCACCCCCGACGAUAUCCACGACGAUCUUUGACGAAACCUUACUUGAUCUUCUCUUUCUCCCCUUCUUCUCCUCUUUACUCACAAACCCUCACUCUCACUCUUUUAAAAGGGAAAAACUGAUUUAAAAUAAGUCUAACACCUCAAUAUAACCAAAAGAAAAGUGGCUAGGGAAAAGACCAAAAUGCCCUUACAAAUUCGGGUUAACUGCCCUGCCAACAGCCCAACUUCCAAAGGGCAUAACUCACUCAUACGAACUCGGAAACGAGCAAACUCGGCGGCGUUGGAAAGAUCAUUCCAAGGGCUUUCCAAACAUAACUGGAACUACACCUAACUAAUCCUGAGAUAGGAGUUAUGACUGUUAAAAGUUGGCCAAAAACUCACUUUUUCCCAUACUUGACCAAAUUUCCAGAUUUUUAAAUUCUUUCCAAAAAUGACUAUUUCCGAUUUUAAGCCUCUUCAUAGUUAUUUCAAAUUGCCGGAUGUUACAUCCAAUCUCCUUACUAAUGAAGAAUGACAAAAGUCUCACAUUAAUGAUUAAUGUGAUGGGUGAAUUUUUUAUAAGGUUUGGACGGUUCUAUUUUCUUUGAGCUAACUUUUGUGACGUGAGUUAGACAUCAAGACUUAAUUUUACACUAAUAAGAUUAAUAACUUAUAUAGUUAUGAAAAGAGAAAAUACAUAGAAACCCCAUUAAACUAUGACUCUUUUUUGAAAAAGACACUUAAACUUUGUGGGGGUCCUAAUACACCCCUAAACUAGUUUAAAGUGAAAUUAUUGAACCCUUUUUUGGAAUUUAAUACAGGGAGUGUAUAACACUCACCUCUAGAGCGUGAAAACUAAAAAAAAAUAUGAUUGAACUUUUGUUUGCAAUAUUUUUGAUUAAAUAUAUAAAUAAUCUUUUAUUUUAGUGUUAAUUUUUUUUUCUUUCUUCUCCUUCCUACGCUUCACCAUUGUCCAUUGAAGGAGACAAUGGCUGCGAGGUUUUUUUUUCUUCUUUUUCUUUCUUUUUUCUUUCUCUUUCUCUUUUCGUUUUCCAUUCAAAUUGGAUUUUGAUAGAGAUUCAGUUGUAACUGAAUAACACAAUUUCAGUCCAUCAAUAAAAUGCCUUUUUAGUUCGGUCACCGGCAAAAAGUUUCAUUGACAACUAACUGAUUUCCUUUGCAAUAGCGACGAUGAAUGAUUUAUUGUUUCAUCCUCAGAUUUCUACUCCUCCUUCUUGGCCGGCGAGGGUGAGAAGCGCCGGAAAAAUGAUGCAACUUCGAAGAAAAAAUCGUAUUUCAAGUGACUUCUGAUCAUUAAUGGGGCUGAAAUCAUGUUCAAACCAAUUAAAAAUUAUCUCAUCUGACCCUGAAGAGAGAAUUUAUGUUUUUCCAAAUACAACCCAUGUUGAUUAGAGCAAAAAUCAAUGCUAAAAUCACAAAAAGAAAUUUUAAUUUGAAAAAAAUUAAUUUGAUAGCGGAUUUAAUUUCUCAAUUUCAAUUUUGAUUUGGUGAUAGACAAAAUGAAAAUGAUGUUGUGCAAACAAGAUUGUCAGCUAAGAAGACCAAAGGAUGAGGUUAAGCAAAAUUGAAGGAAAUGAAAAUAUCUAAUUAAAACUAAGAAAGAAAGAAAAAACAUAAAUAAAAACAAAGAAUAGAAAAUUAUAUAAAAUUAACACGUGGCAAGCAGUAAUUGGUGCGCGCAUUCACUUUCUUUCUUAUAAGUGGGAUUGACCCAAAAAUGGAAUAUUUAUAUCACUUUUAAAUUGUUCAAUGGGGUACUAGGACCCUUGUAAAGUUGGGUGUCUUUUUAAAAAAUGUGUUAUAGUUGAAUGGGGUAAUUAUGUAUUUUCUCUUAUGAAAAUUUCAAGUACCAAAAGCACAAUUUUUUUAUUUUAUUAAAAAUUCUUAUCCAAUCAAUCACCGACAAUAUAAAAUAUUUUAGAGGAUUAUUAAUCAGGAAUGGAGCCAAAUAGAGGCAAGGGUAUUCAUCAGCGGAAAUUUACACUAUUUAGAUAUUGAAUCCCAAUGGAGUUUUUCUUAUACUUUCCUCAUAUUUUUAAAUUCCUUAAUAAAAAAAAUUCGAACGUUGUCACUACCGAUAAUUGUCAAGGUAGCCAACAAUAAAGUUCAACAUCUCGAUGAAAAAAUCAUUCCUUAUUGAAAUAAGAAAUAACAAUAAAUCAAAAUAACUCAUAAAGGGUUGUAGCAGGAUGAAUAAGAUUCAUUCAUGCUUAGUUAAAUAUGAAACAAUUUAGGUAGAUGUCAUUUUCUACCUUAAUAAAUAUUGCACGACAUGAAUUUAAAUUAACGUACGUCCUAACAUAUGAAACAAUUUAGGUAGAUAUCACUUUCUAACUUAAUAGUACAUGAUAUGAAUUCAAAUUAACGUACGUCCUAACAUAUGAAACAAUUCAGGUACAACUUAUUUUCUAUCUUAACAAAUAUUACACAUGAAUUCAGAUUAACGUGGGUCAGUGGCGGAGCCAGGAUUUUCGCCAAGGGUGUUCAUACUUUAGGACAAGUAAAAAAAUAAACCUUGCUAGUCAGAUUAUAAAGAUUGGCUUCAAAAUAGUCAUACCUCAAUAUCAAAUUAACCAAAUAUCCAAAAUGAAAAUUCUUAAAACAGAAACUUACAAAAUAUCAAUGGAUAAACUAAGGAAGAUGAAGUAGGACAAAUAUAUUGACGGAUAGUUUCAUACACACCAAAAUAUGUAAAUUGUAAAGUGGUAACUACAAUUGCACUCGACGACACUUCAUCUCUUGAAAUGUUUUCAUAAUACACUCAUUAGAAACAUCUUUAAAUACUUUUUUCUCUACAUAAGGCACUAUGCAACCAUUUAAAUAGACCUUUUGUUUCCUUUUGUUUUUCUUAACUUAAAAAAGGUAACUUUUGUACUUUUUCUUAAGAGAAAAACGGAACAAAUAUUAAAUAAAUGAAAUGUUCAAGCCUGGGAUCGAACCCAGACUGAGUUUUGCCUUUUCUAAGAGAACAAACGGAAUAAUGAAAAAAUUUAAAGAAAAUGCCUACACUUGGGCUCGAACCCGGAACGCAGAGGCAUCUUUGCACAACCUUAACCACUGGGCUGUCAACCUUUAUUGUGUCAAGGUUGUUCAACAGUUAGUAUAUAUCCAAAAAACUUGAUAUUUAGUAUAUAUACCCUUAAAAUUUUUCCAACGAAGGUUGUUCAUCUAACCACCCUCGCCAUGUCAUAGCUCCGCCCCUGACGUGGGUCCUAACAUAGAUACCAAAACUCCCAUGUGAUAAAAAAAACCAAACAGAUGAGAAUAAUGCUAUCCUAAUUAGACAUAUUCUUAUACUAAAGUACUUUCCUACUUCAUAAUAUCUUCUACAAAAUACACAAUUCUCAACUAUUGCUAUGAAUCAAAGUGGUAAAAAGAUUACUGCUGCAACUGCUAGAGCUCACACCAGAAAAUCCAAGAACAACACCCCAUUUCACUUUUCUUCAAGUGGGUACCUUUUUUUCCUUUCAAGAUUUGAUCUUUUUUUACUAAUUUUGCCUUAAUUUUGUUCUGUUUUGUUGAAUUUUUGAGAUUUGGGGGUUGGGGUUUGUUUGCUGAUUUCAAUGUCCAGCUAGUGUUGUUGUGUUACAUCUUUUAAGCUGAUUCUUGUACUGUAUUUGGUUACAUAUUGUUCUGUUAUGUAGUACUGUAGUUGCUGAAAUGAGCAUAUGAUGAAUAAUUUGCUUAUAUAUGGUACUAAUUAUAAAGGGAAAAAGCUUAAAUAUGUCAUCGAACUUUGAGAAAAGGCUCAUCUAUGUCAUAUGUUAAAAGUUUGGUCCAUCCACGCCAUUUGAGUUAACAAAUAAUGGCAUGGAUGAGUCUUUUCUCAAACGAAAAUGGCAUAGAUUAGCCAAACUUUUAACGGAUGACAUAAAUGAGUCUUUUCUCAAAGUUCGAUGACAUAUUUGAGCUUUUUCCCAAUUAUAAAUGUUGUUAUCUUGAAUGUUAGUUUUAGAGUUAAAUGAUAAAAAACAAACCUAAGCUAUCACUUUUUCGCGAGUUUUAUACCUCCACUAUUUCUUGUAUUGUAUUGAUUAUAUAUAGUACUGUUCUGUAGUACUGUAGUUGCUAAAUUUUUGAUAUGGUGCUUUCACUGAAAUGAGCAUAUGAUGAACAAUUUGUUUAGAUAUGGGACUAAAUUAUAAAUGUUGUUAUCUUGAAUGUUAGUUUGAGUUAAUGGUCAAAAACACACCUAAGCUAUCACUUUUUCGCGACUUUCAUAUCUUAACUAUUUUUUGUUCCAUUUACCUACUUGAACUAUCAAUCCUUUUGUAUUAAAACAUACCUUGUUGUUGAGUUGGCGAAAUGUUUAAUCACGAUCCACAAUAGGUGUGUGUAGGUCAACUUAGUAUCGAGGUGUGUUUUAACGCAAAGGGAGUGAUAGUUUAGGUAGGUAAAUAGAACAAUAGAUACUUGAGGUAUGAAACUCGCGGAAAUGUGAUAGUUUAGGUGUUUUCUUAGCCAUUAACUCUGAAGUUAACCCAAUAAUAAAAAAGCUAAGGACUACAUGAGAUUCCUCAUUAGGAACACAAGCCACGUGUAGGUCAGAUAAGCAUCGAGGUGUAUUUUGAUUCAAUGGGAGUGAUAGUGUAGGUAGGUAAAUGGAAUAAUGGAUAGUUGAGGUAUGAAACUCGCGGAAAUGUGAUAAUUUAGGUGUGUUUUAACCACUUAUUCUUAAUUUUAUCCUAUUUCGCACGGUUUGAACCAGGCCCAUUCAUUGUUUCAUAUGAUUUUCACACCCAAAAGAGGGAAAAGGUUUUCUGGCUAGAAUUGUGAUUUUCAUCCCCUUCCUUCCUUGCUGUUUCGAUUCUAGGAGAACAGGUGGAAUCCAGUCAAGUUCGUCGACUUGAGCUUUCAAUUUGCUGCUCAACAAAGGUAAUACACUUUCCUUUUGCAUUUGUUUCAAGAUUGUGUUAUUUAUUUGAAUUCGACAUUAGAUUUUAUAGUUAGGUUGCAUUUAUGAAGGGUGGGCCAUCAUUCCCGAGUUUCAAAGGCUGUGGUUGGCCCAAAGGGUCGACUCUAGAUAGAUUUCUCGGUCAUUAAAAACAUAUACCAAUAGCAGUCUUGGAGCCAUUAGAUGUAGAUCUUUAUUGUGAUAACUAUGUUAUAGAUUGGUCCAUUCCAUUAGCAUUGGAUCCUUCAACUGUGCCUUUGUAAAUUCGGUUGCAGAGGUCAGAGUUAAGCGUGGAAUGGGACGUAUCUAAGGCACUAGACACAUACAGGGCACUAGCCCGAGCACACUUUAGAGCUGAGAAAUUUGUUGUGACUAAAGAUCCUAAUUUUGCUUUGUACGUACGUAGAGGUGUAGCCACAUAGAGUUAAGGUGGUCAGUUGAAUACCCUUCAUCCAAAAAUUAUACGGAGUAUGUAGAAAACUAUACGGUGUAUAUAGGUCAAAAGAUAUCCUUGAACACUCUGAGUGAAAUUAUUGGCUUCGCCACUGUUUGUACAGGGAUCUUACUUACAAGAACAGAUUGAAAUGAAGCCUAAUAACACUAAGCCUUUUCCUUUCACAUUGUGAGAUAGCUCUAGGAGUUACAAUCUCGAACUGUAAUAACCACUAGAGAUGAGACAUAAAUUCAGUACCCUGCUUCCGCAGCGGAAGUUCCGCUACUCUCUAGAAUGAUUUCCGUUCAGGGGAAGUGGGGAUUAAAAAGUAGGCCACUUUGAUCAGGGCCAAUCAGGUAUGGUAACUUCUGAAGGUUCUUUAAGCUGUGAAGAAUGUUAUAUAAGCAGAUUUAAUAGUUCAAGUUAAGGUUAAGAAGUAAAACAUAGUUGUGUAUGGAUGAGAAGAGUGAAGAUGCAUGGAUUUGUCAAACGCAGCCAAGCAGUGUCCAAUAAAAUGAAUGAUAUGCAAUCACAAGACAUAAACUGAUGACAAAUCCCUUUAGGGGUCGUUUGGUUAGUUAUGUUGACAUUAUUUCUUAUUCACCGUUUGAUUUGGUGUAUUAUGAGUAGUUCUUUCUUUAACCAUGCUUAUCCAAGUAUUAGUAUCCCUUGUAGAGGAGUUUUCCAAUGAGUUUCUGAUAAGCUCUUUGAUCAGUAGGAGGAUCUUAACACACUGGUUCCUUCAGCUUAUAUUUUAGAUGAUCAUCAUAUUGCUUCGAUAUCAGCUUUACAUUUGUGUCAAUAGGAGUUCCUGCAAGUUUGGAUGCUGAUAAUCCUACCUCAGAAAUAAGCUCUAAGGCAUAUUUUCUCUGAUGCAUUGUGAUUCCUACCUUUGAUCUGGCAAACUGGAAAAUCCUUGAGGCAUACACAUUUAGGUUUCAUCAUGUAGAUCUCCUUGUAAAAAUUCAUUGUGUACAUCCAUUUGAUGGAUGUGCCAAUGAUUUGAUACAGCUAAGGCUAAGAUAGUUCUUAUCGUCACCAUUUUCACCACUGGUGAAAAUGUUUCUGUAUAAUCUAUAUCCUCUUUUAGGUUGUAACCUUUGGCUACCAACCUUGCUUUAAACCUCUCAACUUCACCUGUUGACUUGUAUUUUAUUUUGUAUAUCCAUCUGCAUCCAAUUGGUUUUUUGUCAUCAGGUAAAUCUGUGA
RNAcentral lists this long non-coding RNA (61000 nucleotides) under Solanum tuberosum (potato). Its description in RNAcentral is "long non-coding RNA (STUB_LNC010958)". Lineage: Eukaryota; Viridiplantae; Streptophyta; Magnoliopsida; Solanales; Solanaceae. The record is from RNAcentral.